AGCAAGAUGGUGAUUCUUCAUUAGCUUUGACCUCCAAGUUCUUAAGUGUGGCUGCACUAUCAUGUGGCACAGGUACCCCAUUCACCUCAAUAGUUUCAUUAGAUAUAUCAGUUCCCACUUCGGGUUUCGAGCUCGAGGCAUUAACAUCUCUUGCCCGGGUGUUAGUCGGCUUCCGUGGUUCCUGAAACUGGUCAACUUCAUCAGAAGCUGCAUUAACCUUUUUCUUGACAUUUUCAGAAGACAUGGCUGCAGUGUCUUCUUGGACAGGUUCAUGCGGCCUUUCAUGAGAUUUUGGAACAGGUCCAUUGCAAGCUUUUAAUGCUGCGCCACGACCCGCAUUCUUUUCUUCACAGCGGAACAAAGCUGUUCUGCUGUCAGUGGACAACUUCUUUUCCAUGUUCACAUCAGUGCAUUUUGCACUAGGAUUUGAAUGCGAAGAAUUUUUAGAACUACCAUGACCUAUAAUAGCACCAUUUGACACUUCUCUGCGGUGAUCUUCAUUUUGAUCCCUAUCUUCAUCAGUAUGCCGCAAUCUCAUACCCUCCCCUGAACAAGAUUCUUCAGGCAAUGAAGACUUUUUACCAGAAGAUCCAGAAGGUGAGACAUUAGAUCUAGAUAUCUCUCCAGCUGCAACACUGGCAAGCAAAUUCAUUCCAAUAUCAUCCCCAACCGAUGCAUUUACAUUUGCUUCAGAAACCUUUACACAACUAUCAACCAGUGCAUUCAUGGAACUGAACAAAGCCUCGUAGGAUUUCCCUGAUUUUGCUGCACUCCUCGAAGGAGAAUGAGCAUCUUUAGGUGUUUCUGUCAAUUUGUCAGAGCAUUCUCCACCUCUGCUCAGUUCAUCAGAAUUUAGACCACCAGAUGACAUGUUGGCAUCUUCGUAGAUGGGCAAUCCAUCUUUUUGCUGAUUUGUGUCCACAGCCACAUUCAUAGAACCAUUCCUUUGAAAAGUACCAAUUUUUCCUUUUACUUUCCCGUCAUUUUCUACACGCUCCUCAACUUGCAUCGAUGGAGAACCCUUACCAGAGGUAGCAGAAACGUCUUCCGCAGACCCACCACUAGCACUACAUGCAGGACUGCGAGCAGUGUUUGGCAACCGAACAAUGAGCCUCCUGCUGUUACCAUUGUCCACAUGGGGUGCAUCAGGUGUUCUUUCAGAUGUUAAUCUGGUAGGAGAUAACUUUUCAGAAGACAAACUCCUAAGUUCAGAACUCAUCUUUCCAAUACUAGUUUCCUUUUGAGUCCCUUGGACAGCUGUUCCAUCGUUACAAUUGUUUGGCUUCCGAUUGCGUGAAACACCACUAGACGUCCUAUUAACACCAAUUGAUACACAAGUUGAGCUCCUUGCUUCUUCCCUGCAAGAGAUUGUUUUUCCAUAUUCACUUGAACAGGACUGACUAUUGUUUUGGGACUGACUAGAACUAUUGCUUUUGUCCUCUUUAAUGGUUGUAAGAGGGGCAUCAGAAGAACCUGCCCUGUCCUCUUUAAUGGUUGUAAGAGGGGCAUCAGAAGAACCUGCACCAGCCAAUGCCACAGUACUCAAAUCCUUAGUACCAGCAACUUCUGAUGCAGUCACUGAUGGUGACUGUUUAGCUGUGCCAGGAGAACCAACAGACAACUUCUCACUAAUGCCAAGCUUAGCAGAUGGGAUUUUAGAAGCACCAGUUUGUACACUGGAAUUUGUAACACCAGGCUCAGUCGGUUCUCCAUUUCGACGACCAACAACAUUAGAAACUUCAGAAUUCAAGGAUUUAGUUGGCCAAGAACCACCACGACUUGAGCCAGACUUUGCAUCGAUCAUAUUCAUUUCAGCUUCAACUCUUUUCUUCCAUGUGUCAACCAAACUCCUGGCUUUUUUCUGUAUCUCAGAAUUCCUAUUAGUACGUAAAUGAUUCACAGAUUUCCCAAUGUUACAUGUUUGGAGUGCAUGAAGGUUUACUGGUAGUUUAUCUAGUGCUCGGAGCAAUGACAAGAGAAAUUCGUCAACAGAUUUAUCACCUUCUUUCGGACUACUGUUAUCACCAAGUUUACCCUUGUGAGCCUGCUGGAGCCAAUCAUCCAACACGGGCAAACCCCUGAGCUGAACAAACCUAGUAAGACAAUCAAAUCUAUCCGUUACAGCUAUUACAUUUGCCAGUAUGAUUCGACAAGCUAAAUCUAGCUUUUUCAUUGAACUGUCAGGUUGCAUGAGUUGCACCAAUUUAUCAACCCCUUCAAAAUCUGUGAGGCCUCCUCUAUCUGUUAUCUUAGCAAUCUCAAGCUUUAAAAUCUGAUCUGGUCGAAGCUGACCAGAAUCCGCAUCGUCUGCUUUGCAAGUACGCUCACGUUUCACAGAAUCAGAUCCUUGAACAAGUAGCUCUCUUUUCUUCCCUUUAGCCUGAGAAUGAUAAGAGGAUGAACUGUUUGGAGCACUAUCUGAACUAGGCUUAACUUGUGGACCAUUUAAUGCUUUCGGAGAACGACCUCCUGGCUGUGCAGCUGCAUACAUAUCUAUGUUUGUCUUGUCUAAGAGUUGAUCUACUUCUUUCUGGCGUUCCUGAGUCAAAUAAGAAUAGCCUUACAGUCACAUGAACAACAAUCAUGCAUGUAAAACACAAAAACCUAAUUGAAUUAUAUACUUACCUUAACAUAAUCUCUGUCGCUAAACCACCGUAAACACUUUGCUUCAGUAUCAUACACUCGUCUACACACAAUUGAGGAUAACCCUGAAGGAAGCUCAACACCUUUACGAAGAAAUGCAACCUUAUACAGAUGGAGUAAUGAUGCAGCAGGUAUCUCAGCUUUGUUAAAAGAGUAAAACACCUCGUUGGGUGCUGCUUCAAGCGGAAGACCUUUUACAAGCUUUACGUCAGCAGGCCGAUAAAGCCAACUAACAGACAACCUCAAACCUUCUUCUUUGCUUGUAAUUAAUCUAUGGAUCAUUCCAAGAAAUGGGGCCGAAUCUUUGGGUGCCUUAAAAACAGCACAAUCGCCAACAGAUAUCUUGAUUCCAUCCUGGAAGAUGUCAAAGUUACAGUAAGUUAAAAAUAUGGACCAACACACACACACACACACACACACACAACCUCCACAUAGAAUAAUCUCCAAUUUAUUUACAAGAAAUGAUCCGAAGUGGGGUCGUCAUUUUAGACAAGAAUUACCUCCAAAAUGCAAUUCAGGCUACAUGUUUAAAUGCCCGCAUGCAGAAACUAUACCUUUGUAUAUUAAGAUUAAGUAUAUACUACUUAUAUACAUAUACUCCUGAAAUUGUUUGUCUCAAAACGACAAGAAUAGCAUCACAACAAAAAAAAACUCUCUACAAUAAUGCUUAAAGGAGAAAAAAUCACUGACACAAUAAAUGACAUUUCAACUAUCACGAAGUAUAAAACAAAACGUGUGUCAUGUGUAUCGCCUUCCAAGAAAAUCAAAGUCUUUGAAUUGAGACAUACGAUUUGCUCAACAUAUCAAUCUUAUAGAUUAUAAUUUGUUUCACGUGCAAUUUUGUAAAGUAAAUAUUAAUUAAGUGCUAAACAGAAAUUUUUGAUUUAGUUUCCGAUUUCACCUGAACUUGUUUCACAUAUCCUAGGAGUAGUAAUUUGAGGUAUAUAUUGCCAUGUAAAUUAGAAAGUUAUCUGAAUUAAUCCAUAACAGCAACUAGUGACCAAAACAGAAUAAAGUCAUAACACUUGAAUUACGCUUUUGGACGAUGUGUAUCUGUAACUGAAUAGAGAUCAACUUGAUGAAUUCAAUAACUCUACAUAUACGAAUCAAACAAAUUCAGUAAUUUCAUACACAAAAAUCAUAUCAAAAUAUUUAGGGGAAAUCUCCGUACAAAAGAACAAAAAAAGAGACCAAGAGAAGACAUAAAAUUAUAUAACCAACCAAAAACCCACAGACAUAAAUACACAAUCACACACAAAAACAAACAAUAGAAAUGGAGCGCCCAAUAAUAAUGAAAAGGCUGGACCUUUGUGAAAGAAUCAGCAGUAACUGGAGCAAAUUCUUCGGAAUGACCUCCUCCGGUCGGCGUGGUGGAAACGGAGACCGGCAACAUGUGCCGGCAGUGAGAAUAAUUUAAACUGAAGUUCCAGCCCUAAAAAAAGCAUCAAUUAGCACUGAUCUACCAUGACUCGAUAUCAAAACCCUAGCUUCUCUUCAUAAUUCGUCAAUUGGAGCUGUUGCAAAACCCUAGAUCGAUGAAAAUAUCUACGAAACAACAGAAAUCCCCAAAUUUUCGAGCGAAAAAAUCGGAGAAUCAGAGAGGCUAGGGCUUAGGUGUAACCGGAGAAUAAUUCGAUUAAAUUAUAAGAUCUAGAUAUAUGUAUAGAAGAGAGCUGAUCGGAGAAAACGAUAUUCAGAGAUUUCAGGGCACCGGGUAUUUCGCAGAGAGAGAGAAGAUAGAGAGAGAGACAGAGAGAGAGAGAGAGAGAGAGAGAGAUGAAACUACGCGAAACGGCGAAAUAAGCUCGCUCUCCUGCUGAGGAAGUCUUAAAAUGAAAUCCAAUUUCGGUACUACUCAGAUAACGUCAUUAUUACGUUCUUUUUAUAAUCCCCUUCUCUCUUCCAACUCCGGAAUAUACAUUUUUCGGUCAUUCGAAAUUUAAUUAUACCAGCAAAUCUCGUUAUUAUGAUAAAUAUUCCCUUUCUGUAAAUAAUAUUCAUGUCUCCAUAACGGUUUUGAUUUUGAUCUUCUUGAUUGUAAAAUUUGAUCAGUACCAAAGAUGUCAGUGAUAUGGUUACAUAGAUAAAUUAGUUAUAUCAAAUUAUCAAUAUUUUCAAAAAUAUUUGAUUUGUAUCGAAAAAAGUCAUUCUUCAUUAUCGUGAAAGAGAUAUUCUAGAAAUGAUGAGCUUCCAAGAUAAGGGACGGAUUCGAUUGAAAUUUUAAAAGAUUAUUUUCAUUCAUUAAAAAUCGAAAAGUAUUCAAUUGAGAUUUUUUUAAAAUUUAAUAAAAUAUUGGAAUAUUCAAAAGAGAUUUUAAAUUAUGCUAUAAAAUCUGAAGAUAUUCAAUCAGGAUUUUAAAUCCAAUGAUUUUCAAUUAAAAUUAUUUAUUAUUUAUUACAAUCUUAAAAUCUGAUUGAUUUUUUUAGAUUUCAUAAAAUGUUGGAAAAACUUUUCAAAUCAAAUCUACACCAUUUCUUAUAUCAAAUUUUUUCGAAAAAGUUUCACAAAAUUCCUCCCAAAAAUACAUCUCUUUUCACAAAUUUAAAGCUUUAAAAUCAAAUAUGUAUUCCAUUACUGACCUUGUUUGCACCAAAUUCUUAAAUUCUUCCGGUGUGUCUACACCAUUUCUUCCAUCAAAUCUUUUCAACAAAACUUCACAAAUUAUCCCCUAAAAUAUAUCAGCUCUAAAACCAAAUAUCUCAUUUACCUUCAAGAUACAUUUCUACCGACUUACAUUUAUAAGAAUCACUUACCCGUGGAUCCUCUCCCUCACCAACUUUCCCGCUUUUAGAAUCACAACACUAAAGUAGAAGAUUUUGUAAUUACAAAUGAGUAUAGUUUGAAAAUCACUUCAGAAUUUGUUCAAGACCACAUAUACAAAGUAAAUUUGUUUCUGACACAAAAAUACCACAAAGAAAAACCUGUAUAUAAUAAUUAUUAUUUUUCCAAGGAAAAGUACUAUAACAAAUUUUGUAAAUAUAGGAAUAGCUUUUUUGUAUAUAAAAUUAUAAAAAUAUUACGAGUGCCAUAAUUAGUAUGCAUAUAUUUAAAAAGAGGUUUAGUUUAUAUAUUUGUUAUCAUUUCUUGUAUAUAUUUGUGUGUAUUUCAAAAGAGGUUUAAUUUAUUUUCUUUGAGUAGAGCUUAAAAGCUCAUAGCUAAUAUUCAUUCUCAAAUAGAAGGGAACAAACUCUAAGACCUGGAAUUAGCAGGGAUAAGACUUCAAACUAUCCCACCACGUUCAAAAGAGAUUUGAAUUAAUUUCACCCUCAUUAUUACAUUAUCAACAGAACCAGAUUGAUUAAGUGAAUUAAAAAGAUGAUUAAUUAGCUUCGAAAUAGCUCAAUCAAACAUAUAACAAUGUAGAAAAUUAAAAAAAUAACUUGUUCAGACUUUAGGCAGUUCUAUUUGUUUAGGAAAAGUCUUCAACCUGUUGCCAUCACGAAUUCACUAUUUCCCUCAGUAAUGCUAAACAACCUUUAUAGAAUCCCAUUAUAUAACUGUUAAAUAUUUACCUACAUACUAUCUUUAUCUUCCAAGUUCAUUAUACAAAGCUAGCUGAGGCAGUACUUAACUAGAACCACUAAUACACAUACAAUAUUCGCAAACACCAUUGUCACUUGGAUCCUGUCAGCAAAAACAAACAAAAGGGAUGUGCUACUUUUAUGCAUUAUAAACCCUAUUUCCGCUCACAUUCUUCUUGAAUUUCACCCUCUGCAAAGAUAAGGCACAAUGAUAUGUAAGAUCGUAAAACUAAACUAGUUUGCUCAAGAGCCCAAAAGUCAUUACCUGGGAGAUAAACAGCAAGAUUGGCUUAAGCAUCAGCUUCCGGGUUCCACUCCUUCACAAAACAACAUGUAUAAGGGGAUAGUUUACAACCUAUAGCAUAAAAGUUCACGGUGUAUGAGUUUGACUCAUGACUGGGAAGUUACUGAAUUAACUGUAACACAUUGUCAGUUUCUUGUUCUUGUUUAUAUUCAUGUAUUAAAAUUUUCUACUGAAAGCUCUUACUAACUAUUACUAAGCCUUAAGCAUCCGACAGUGUAAUGUAUGUAUAUGCUUCAAUUAAAGCAGGUACGCUCUGCCAUCAACUUAUCUCUGGUAACUAAAUAUGCUACGACGUAUCAUUUUGUACUGCAAGAUAAGUAAAAAGUGCUUCCCUGCAUAUACCCUUUCAACAUGAUCUCAAACCAUGUAAAUUUGUCUUUGAACUCCUUAGCCACCUUGCAUAAGACAGCCAUGUUCUGGUUUUUGGUUUUCCACAGACCCUGAAUCUGCAAAGUUCAUUUUGCCGCCGAAGAGAGUAAAAACCAAAUAUAAUUACAAUGAACAGAUACAUAUUGUAUCAGUAUAUUAGCAGCUGACCACAACCAAAAUGCCCAACAUUAAGAUAUAUAGCAACUGCAGAUGCAAUUGAUUAUAAGAAUUAGAUAGUGGAUUAUGUCAACUACACAAAGUGGAAGGAGAAAUAACUCAUUUUACAAUAUUGUAAUGAGAUAUAAUAGAAGAAGUCUUUCAGCUUUUAAUAAAAUAGUAUGGAUACACUAAGUAAAGAAUAAAACAAUGUAAAAAUAUAAUUUAUUUUCUAGUUGUAAGUAAUUGAACCCGAAAUAUAUUUAAAGGGUCCUGGUUUGGCCAUUUUAUGUCGGGAACUCUUAUCUAACAUAUUGUUUUUUCACCGCCUGAUUAAGAUAUGAACAAUUAUGACUAUAUAAAUGUUUAUUAUGGGCUGUUCUUAUUAAGUGUGGGGUACUUGUAUACAAGUGAACUUGACCACAUCACUAUCUAUGAAGAUCAACUGAACGAUCCUAUCAAGUCUACAUCAAAAGGUAAAGCGGGAUGCACGACUCUCUAGUUCGACACUAUACAAUAACGACAGCCAAAAGAUAUGCAGAGGUCAAAAGUAGUACCCGAGAUACACCUAUACUAGUAGUGUCAUCCCGCAAAAGAGCAACCUGUACCAUAGAGAAGUGGCAAAUCAGCGUCCAAAUAGCUCAGACACCCGACGCUUAAACUCCGCCCUAGCCCGCUCGACAAAAGCCGCAACAAGAGCGGGCUAGGGCGGAGUUUAAGCGUCGGGUGUCUGAGCUAUUUGGACGCUGAUUUGCCACUUCUCUAUGGUACAGGUUGCUCUUUUGCGGGAUGACACUACUAGUAUAGGUGUAUCUCGGGUACUACUUUUGACCUCUGCAUAUCUUUUGGCUGUCGUUAUUGUAUAGUGUCGAACUAGAGAGUCGUGCAUCCUCUUUAGCUUUUGAUGUAGACUUGAUAGUAUCGAUCAUUUGAUCUUCCUAAUAGAUAGUGAUGUGGUCAAGUUCUCUUGUAUAUUUCUUGAUAUGCCAAAAAUGAUGAACAUGUUACGAUUAGUUAUGAUGAUAGAUCAGUGAUGAUCAGAUUAGAUGCAGAUGGUUAGGUACUCUUUUGUACACAAACCUUGUAUCUUUACGAUGAUCACUGGUAUUGUUGGAUGGUUAUUUUACUGCACUAUUGACAUGUUUAUUGCUUGUACCUUUUAAGCUAUUGCUUGUAUUCAUAUUGUUCACAUGUAACUUUGAGUUAUAACUUUCUUUUUCCAAGACCUGUAAAUAGUCAAACAUUUUCCUUAAUAAAAAAAAAGAAAAAAAAGGAAGAAAGAAGACGAAGAAAACUUGAACUAUUUUCUUAAAAUUAACCCGAAAACCUAAAACUACAAACUUUUUUUUGAACUACAGUAAAAACUAUAUAAAUUAAUAAUAUCGGGACCGAAGAAAUUUAUUAAUUUAUCGAUAAAUUAAUAAUUAUUAAUUCAAAGAGUUUUUAACCGAUUAUAGUGUACAUACCAAACAAAAAGACAAAUUAGUCCAUGCCUCUUGGAAUUACAUUGCAGCGAAUCUUGGGACUUAACCUAAAUUAAUAACUAUUGUGUUCAUAUGUACUGGAAAUCAAUAAUCACUUUUAAAGUAUUGUACAGUAUAUGUAAACAAGAGGAAUAAAUAUGCUCAAUGUACAGCAUUUUUAAGCAAAUUUCUAUGAAUUAUUAAUUUAUGAUUUUCUUGGGACCGAAAAUUAUAAAGGAAUCUCUCGAAAAGUUAUUAUCUUAUUAUUUUAUUGAGUUUUUCAAUUUUUUACAUUGGCCCAAGUCGGGACCGGACAAAUUUAUUAUUUCAGAGAGUUUAUUAAUUUACCGAGUAUUGAUUUAAAGAGUUUCUACUGUAGUAAGAUUUCAUUGAUUCACCCUAAAAUCCUGUUUUUAUAAACAAAACUUUUGACAAACCUUUACCAUUCGAUUGUACAUCACUAUGAGAAAUUACUUUGUGAUAAAUAUAUUAUUUGUUCUUUCUAAACCCGUGACUCUGCUUUAACCAAGAUAAAUUUUGAAUUAUACUGUUACUAUUUUUGGAGUUACUUUUUGUAGAAACAAGAUGGAUCAUGAGUCAAAUAAAAGCCCAGUGCAAAAAAAUUCUUCCAGAACAACCCGAAGAAUCACCACAAGGUCCACCUCCCGGAUUUGAAAAUGUCAAUCCCCACAUGAUGCAAAUGUUCAUUAACUUUCUUCAACAAAAAGCUCAAAAUAAUCCAAAUAACCCCAAUCAAACCUCAACCAGUCAACCCCCUAAACCCGAGGUCACUUUCAAAGUUUUCAAAUCUAUCCAACCCUGAGUUCAAAGGGACCACGGAUCUUAUCGAGGCUAUGACCUGGUUAAAAGAGAUUGAAAAAGCUUUUGAAAUCGUGGGUGCGGGAGAAGAUAAAAAGACUUUGUUUGCAACCUAUAUGUUGAAAGGGAAGCCAAUUAUUGGUGGGACGCAAAAAGGGAUCUGCAAGGGACUAAUGUUAUAACUUGGGAAACGUUUACUAAGCUAUUUUUAGAGAAGUAUUUCCCUAAAUACCUCGAAAACCAAAUGGAACUUAAAUUUCUACAGUUCAAGGCUUCAAGCAAAGGAACCUAUCUGUGGCUGAUUAUGAAGCCAAAUUUACUGAACUUGCGAGGUUUGUGUCGCAUUCUGUCGACACCGAUGAGAAGAGACUGUAACGACCGCAAUCUCACAAGUACGUAUAACUACAAUUUAUUAAAUCUAUCUGUAAAGUUGCGCUAGAUAUCAUGAUUUAUAGUUAGGAUACGAGUAUAAAUUAAUAGAUUUCUUGAUUAUAUAUAUUAAUUUUGGAGUUUAUGUUCUCGCGACUAAAAUGAAAUUACUGCAUAGAGCUCGCUAAAUUUAAAAGACGAAUAUUUAGAUCGAUAAUUAGUAACUACGGGGAAUUAACACGAAAAGAUGUGUAUGAUAAUAAAAUAUGAUAUAAAUUAUUAAUUAAUAGGGAGUGGUAUUAUUAGUUUUUAAUAAUAAUAAAUAUAUAUAAUCAAUAGGACUUGGGUUUAUAAAUAAAUAACUCUUAGGUCCUUAACAACAAACAUUACUAAAGAUUGCUUAUAAAAAGGCUUAAAGCGAAACUCAAGCCUUUUAUUAUCAAAGCAAUACUGAGCGAAACCAGGAGUGUUGAAGAUCUAGCAGCUGGGGAUAUUAAGGAGGAAAGAAUUAAAACUAGCCUAAAAUCAAGGUAAACACUUAUCUUUCCAUUCUUUAAAUAGGUUUCAUUCAAUGAUUAAAUUGUAUUGUACUAUAGUAGUAUAUCUAUUCUUUAACAAAGACAACUUUCUUCGCAACGAGAGUGCACCCAUCAUUCAGGUCGACUUAUGAUUUCCUCAAAUCUUUAAACAUUAUUUUAUUUCAGAUCAACUUCAUUUGAGAAUUGUGUUCCUAUUCUUGAGCUGUUACGAGAAUUGUUGAUUUAAGAUUUCUCUGAAUCAAUGAUCAUUUAUUAAUCAUUGUAGCUUAAUUUCAAGCCCUAGUUUUGAUUCUUUCUUACUGCCGAUAUUUUACUCUUUCUAUAUAUCCUCUCUUGAAAUUGAUUAUUCACAUCAGACAUGUUCAAGUAAUCAGAUUUCGAUUCAUUAUUUCUAUUCUGAUUGACAUCUCGACUUCGAAUGUUUGACUUCUCUCAAAUCUGAGAAAUUUCAAUUCGAAAUUAUAAAGGUGCAAUUGUUCGCAGCUGAAGAAAGAGUGAGAAGUUGUUGAGAAGAAAAGGGUAUCGUUGUCCUCUGGGAAAGGUUCUGGUAUACUAGUCAACACGAAUGAUUUGCAUUCGUGGUGGAGAAGAGAAAGAACAGUGUCCCUGUGUGGGAAGAAUUUAAGGGUUAAAAAUUAUAACCCUUUUGCUAGCAACGUGUGGAUGUGUAGUGGCGCCAAUCAACAGUCGUGAUCAAGCUGCGAGGGCGACACAGGGUGGUACUCGCUCAAUGGCGGUGAUCGAGCCUUGUGUGGGACCACUGGGUUGGAGACCAGUAAAUGAUGGUUUUUUUUAUAAAUUCUAUGUGUGUUUAAUUGCAGCACUUCUUUUGAAUCUGCUUAAAUUCUUUUUUGGAUUAUUUUGUGUUGCUUUAUAAGUUGUUAGUGGACUUGAUGAGCAUUCAAUUGCUCAUACUUGCAAUUCUUUAUCUCUAUUAAAACUGAACAUGGCACGAUUAAGGACAACUCGGAAGCGUACAACAGCAAGGGCAAGGCGUAAAGUGGUGGCAAGACGAAGGACGCGAAGACUCGAUCCCGUAAUGAGAAUGUUUUUAAUAAUUAUAGUAGUUUGUACUUUUGGACUUAUCGUUGUAAUAAUUUGCUAACUGUGUGGAAGUGUAAUAUCGUCCCUGGACUUGCGGGGCGAGUUAUGUAAUAUAAGACAAGUUUGCCAAGGUUAUGUGACGACCCAAGUCCGGAUAGAAAGGAUUUGGGGGAGUUACAAUAAACUAAUUAGAUUAGUGUUGAUUGAGUCUUGACAUUUUCUUUAGACUAUCUUGUGCUACACAUUUUUACCAAAACAUAAGAGAGUGAAAAGAGAGAUAGAUGAUUUUGUUUUGGCGGCUAGUACAAUCCUCAUUCAUCGUCGAUCAUUGAUGUUCAUGCUAUUCGUGUGGAUACCGACAGAGGAGGGACAUGUCCAAGAACUUUAAUUGUCAUCCUUCCGUUAAAAUUUCAUAAGGUGUUUACUCUUAUCUCAGAAUAAAGUCUAGUAGUUUUGCAUUGAUCCGGUUUCGAUUUUGUCAUUAACCAUGUUUGCUGCUAAAAACCCUUCGAUCACCUAUUAAAAUUUAUAGAUAGAAACAAUUUUGGUAUUUAUGCUUUUAGUAAUAUUAUAUAUAUACUCGGCUUAACUGAAACUAGGGGUGGCAAUAUUGGACCCGACCCGACAACCCGACACGAAUUCGACCCGCAAAAUACGAAUUCGGGUUGGGGGUUUUCGGGUUCGGGUCGAAUUCGGGUUGACCCAAAAUCAACCCAGAAAAAACGGGUCAUUUUCGGGUUGAAUUCGGGUUACCCGAAAUUGACCCGAAAUUACCCGAAAAUUAAUAUAUAAUAUAAAUAUUAUAUAUAUUUAUAUUAUUUAUAUUAUUUUUAUAAAAUUUAUUAGUUAAAUAUAAUAUUAAAUUAUUUAAUUUAAUAAAACUUAAUUUAUUUCGAUUAAAAUAAUAUUUAUUUAUUAUUUAAAAAAUAUUUUUAUUAAUAAAUAUUAAUUUUCGGGUCGGGUUCGGGUUACCCGCGGGUAGUGCGGGUCGGGUUCGGGUUGGGUAUUCUGACCCAUUAAAAUUUCGGGUCGGGUUCGGGUUGGGUAAAUUUUUUGUACCCGCGACUGUCAACCCGACCCGAACCCGACCCGAAACCCGAAAUUGCCAGCCCUAGCCAAAANNNNNNNNNNNNNNNNNNNNNNNNNNNNNNNNNNNNNNNNNNNNNNNNNNNNNNNNNNNNNNNNNNNNNNNNNNNNNNNNNNNNNNNNNNNNNNNNNNNNNNNNNNNNNNNNNNNNNNNNNNNNNNNNNNNNNNNNNNNNNNNNNNNNNNNNNNNNNNNNNNNNNNNNNNNNNNNNNNNNNNNNNNNNNNNNNNNNNNNNNNNNNNNNNNNNNNNNNNNNNNNNNNNNNNNNNNNNNNNNNNNNNNNNNNNNNNNNNNNNNNNNNNNNNNNNNNNNNNNNNNNNNNNNNNNNNNNNNNNNNNNNNNNNNNNNNNNNNNNNNNNNNNNNNNNNNNNNNNNNNNNNNNNNNNNNNNNNNNNNNNNNNNNNNNNNNNNNNNNNNNNNNNNGCUCUAUCUUGUUGGAUGCAGCACCUAUCAGAACUUAACUACGAACAACAAUCGCUUUAAUUAUUCAUUUUACAAUUUUAUUCAUAUACUCAUGUAGUGAUGGUGGGGUUAAUUAUUUCUGCUUGUUGGAGAUUGGCAGUUAACUUGGAACCCUGUUGUUUCUAGUUUAAUAGAGUGGAUUACAGUUGAUAAUAAACUGAUGGUAAAACGAAGCUGUAAUGAUUGGUAUGUCAAUAGGGGUGGCAAUAUUGGACCCGACCCGACAACCCGACACGAAUUCGACCCGCAAAAUACGAAUUCGGGUUGGGGGUUUUCGGGUUCGGGUCGAAUUCGGGUUGACCCAAAAUCAACCCAGAAAAAUCGGGUCAUUUUCGGGUUGAAUUCGGGUUACCCGAAAUUGACCCGAAAUUACCCGAAAAUUAAUAUAUAAUAUAAAUAUUAUAUAUAUUUAUAUUAUUUAUAUUAUUUUUAUAAAAUUUAUUAGUUAAAUAUAAUAUUAAAUUAUUUAAUUUAAUAAAACUUAAUUUAUUUCGAUUAAAAUAAUAUUUAUUUAUUAUUUAAAAAAUAUUUUUAUUAAUAAAUAUUAAUUUUCGGGUCGGGUUCGGGUUACCCACGGGUAGUGCGGGUCGGGUUGGGUAUUCUGACCCAUUAAAAUUUCGGGUCGGGUUCGGGUUGGGUAAAUUUUUUGACCCGCGACUGUCAACCCGACCCGAACCCGACCCGAAACCCGAAAUUGCCAGCCCUAACUGAAACCAAUCAACUAGUGCCUUAGGUGGAGACCCAUCGAAUCGACUUGACUUAACGCCGUGACAACCAUGGACAUAUACAUUUCCCUUGCACAAGGAUUGUAAUUUUCCAUUUUGCGAAUCAUUUCAUAAUUGACACUCUUCCACACUUUGUGGUUUUUGAUCGGAGUUCAUAAUAAUUACAUACAUAUCAUUAAUCACAAUACUCCCACGAUCCAAUCAUGAUUAAUGAUAUGUAUGUAUGUAAUUGUGGUUUAUGAUUGGAGUUUUGUAAUUAAUGAUAUGUAUGUAAUAUUAUUAUGAACUCCAAUCAUAAACCACAAAAUGUGGAAGAGUGUCAAUAAUGAAACGAUUCGCAUAAUGGAAAAUUACAAUCUUUGUGCAGUCAUUACAAUGACACCCCGUGGACUUCUUCAAAAUAUUGGCCAAAGGAUUUUGACACACAAGACAAGUCAAGAAACCUCCCCGGCCUAACCCAUAAGGCAAUAUUCAUCUUCUCGUGUUGAGACACCUCCCCAAGUUCAGCAUAACUUUUUCUUUACAAACUAAACCCUAUUAAUAGCCAUGUAUGUAUUCCUACAUAUCGAUUAUUUCAUUAAUAACUCUAAACAUUUUUAGUCAGAUAUCUCCCUGCAACACAUGCUCAUGAAAGGGGCAAUUGAUUUAUAAUAAAGAGUAAAUAUUACUAUUUCGUCCCACCCAAUUCUUUACAUUGAGGUUGGGUAUGUAGGUAAAGAAAAAUGUAUAACUAGUGUGAAAAAGGAAGAAAAGUGGGUGAAGUGGGAGAACUAAUUAUAAUAUAAUUAAUAGAUCAUAAAAAAUGGAUGAAAAUAGCGGGUGAAAGUAGUUUUUAUAUUAUAAAAAUUUAUUAUUUUUAGAAAAUUUUGAAAUGUAAAGAAUUGAGGACAUCCCCAAAAGAAAAAAGUAAAGAAAUGGAGGGAACGCAGGAGUAUUUUAUUGUGUAAUUGUAAAAAAAUCAAUCCUGAGAACUUUAGAAAUAUAAGGGAUGAAAAUAAAUUUGUUACCGGAAGGGCACCACUAAAAGGGUCUUUCAGUUUAGAUAAGAGUAUAAGCUGCAAGAAAUUGAAUUUCUUCCGGGGGUGAAACAAAAUUUGGUAGUAUAAAAAAAAGGGUUUCAAAUUCUAAUAAUGAAUAUAAAGGUAUUGUCUAUAUUAAAUUUGCAAGAUUAUAAAAUUAUGGCUAUCAUGGUAGUUUUGUAUUUCUUAAAUAUUUCCAUAUAUUCAAAAAUUAUUCUUAUAUUAGUUUUGCAUAAAUUAAGAUCUUAUAUUACCUUAUAAAAUAAUAUGUAACUGGACUAUGUCACAUUAAUAUAUUUAUGAAUUAUUAUAUCAAUUUUAUUUUUAUUGAAUUAAGAAACAUUUUACCGUACACAGUAUGUGCUUGCUUUUUGUUUAUGUAAGAAAUUGUAUAACAUAACAUACCCAGGUUAAUACAUGCCAAAUACUAAACACCACAGUAAAAAAAUAGGGUGAAACCAAAAAUAUAUAGGUUUCAGGGGUGAAACCAGGAUUGGUUUAACAAGAUACCACUGAAAACUGGUUGUGGCUUUCAAUAAAGAGUUGACUUUCGAAGCUCAUAUUCUAUUUACAACAUAAUGCAAGUGUAAGAGAAGAUAUGGGUUAAAAUUUGAAUUAUGAUUUAAGUUGAGCCAACGAUAAUAAUGAGUAAAUUACUAAAUUCAUGGUGAGUGAAGAAAGAAAGAUAAACCAAGGGAGUAUAGCUAACCUCCAUAGAAACAAGUUUAGAACCUCCUUUCACACUUAUAUGUGUAAUCCUCUUCUGCAGAGCUACCUUCAAUCCUAAAUCAGAGAUCGCUAUUCUGCAACAUUAUUAGUUGCAAUGCCCAAACCUUCACGGAGCCGAUAAACCUGUGAAAAUAUAUAUCAGACACCGUCACAUUAUACAAGAGAAGCAUAAAUGCCAAUCAGCAGCAUACCAGGCUUCCAUUUGCAGCACGCAAAACAACUCCAGCACCAGCUUGCCCAGGAUUUCCCUUUGAUGCACCAUCAAACUCUAGAAUGAAGGUCUGGAAAAUAAGAAGAUUAAAAUUCAACUACACCAAACUAUUAUAGGCUUUGUAAUUUUAGUAGAAAAUAAUUUAGAUUGGAUGAAGAAAUUAUCUAUUAGUAUGUUAGAUUGAUAAAACACAAACAAAAACAAAAUGUCCACACCUUUGUGAACUGACAACUCCAUCCACCAAAUAUACCAUCAAUUGAUAUUUUGUGCUAACACGACACGACUAAAUACUUUCUCUUCCUUAUAUAACAGCCAGUCUUCUGCCUAGAAUUAUAGAAUAAAUUUAUAUAAAAAAAUUACUCUUUCCAUAUCCACGUCAUAUGGAAUCACCUAAUCACUAUAUGUACGAUUGUAACAAAUUUCUAACAUGAAAAUUUUUUACUUGGCUAAAGAUGAGCUUAACCAGAUACUCAGGAUACCUGUAUCAGAGGGUGCAUACCUGCAUGUACUACAUAUCUCCGUGUUAUCAGACUUACUUGAUACUUAGACCUAUUUGUGCAGGUUAAAUUUUGUGUAUAUUUGUUACUUGUUGAAGAACAUCCCAAGUUAAUUUUCUUUUUUUGUUUGUGGCGCCAAUUUCUGUAAUUAACUAUUUGCGUUCAAGAUGCCUUCAUUACAGUAACAACUCAGCACAAGAAACUCCAUGCUCGAUCCCAUCAUUAGACGUGUCAAAGGUUCAGAAAAUCAGUAAUUUUGCGAUAAAAUUUUCAAUCUUCAUAUCCUUGAUUUAAGGCUGGUACACAAUUUGUGUGAGCUACCAUAUAUAAAGGAAAAAAAUAAUGAGCAACAAACAGUAGCGAGAUUUAUUAUAUAGAUUUUGAAAGGAAAAAACAGCAUUAUUGACUCUUUACAGCCAAAAUAUGGAACAUGGAGUUAGCUUAAGUAUGUUUAAAAACACUGUCAUAAACCACUCUACAGAGCAAGGUCCAGGGAACAUGUACUCAUCUGCAUGAUAAGAGACUGGGAACUGGUCAGACUACUUACACAAUAAGAAGAAACUUUUGGAACAGCCAUGGCAUUCUCUCUUCUAGGUUGAUUUUGUCGAGGGCUUGAGAAUGGAUUUGAUCCCCCCGAACCAUGCUAAAAAAUAAAUAUAUAAAAAGAAGGCAAAAGACAAGUUCUGGAGAGAACCGUAAAUCUCCCCGGCUAAAUUCAUAUAAAUUCCAGGGUUCAUGAUUCUUAAAAUAGCAUUGAGACAAUUUAUUAUGCACAACAGAAAUAUAUAUAAGAUAAAAAAAUUUAAAAUAAAUGCAACCUUAAUCUUGAUUCUUGACUACUAGCAUGACAAUGUGUAUGAUGAUGUGGGGUGAUUUAUUGGUUAAAACCUAAACAGAGAAUGCUAAAAGAAGUCAUUGCAAAGUUGAGAUAACUUGCAAUUUCUUUGAAAAUAUGCUUAUUGGAAAUGUGAGAACUUGAACAUAUUAUACAUAUAUUAUAAUAGAACAAUUCAACGGUUCAUAUAUAUCUCAUAUCUCAAUACAAUUCCUAGGGCCUUCUCCAGAGUUGAUAGCCAGAUAAUUAUUAUAUAUAGUACACUUGUGCAAGAAAUGACUCUCAGUUUAAACACAUGUUGGCAUUAAAUAUAUCAUGUCUUCUUUCCUUGGUCCAAAACAAUUUAUGAAUGCUUUGGAUGUUAGAAAACGUUAUGUGGUAUAGACUUUCACAAUAAAGACAAGGAAUAGGAAAGGAAAGAAUUUCAUUAUUACAUGUGUUUACAAACAUCUUCCCAUUUUGGGUAAUACUUUGUAAUAUGAUAAUAUUUGCACAAAAAAGGAAGACCGUAAAAUUUAUACAUAAUCAUUACACUCCCUUUACCUGAGUCAUUUCUCUUUCCUACUUUUUCUUACACUGCUCAAAAAUCAGCCCCUGUGACUAUGACUAUGACUAUGACAUCAUCAGAUCCAUCAAUACACUUAGAUAGCAAGGUUUAAGCUGGUACAGAAAAGGUUGGCUUCUAAAUUUUCUUAUCAAGUGCCAUAAAAAAUUAAUCUGUCUAACCGAAUUUUUAAAAAAAGAUUUGACUCAAACUUUACAGAUCAAAAUCUAAUCGUCUAAAGUUGAAAAAACUUACGUAAAAAGAAGCAAAGAACAUAUUAAAAAUCAGUACUAGAUUUUCUAGAUCAGAUGACAUUCAAGUAAUCCUACCACCUGCCUACCAUUUUGUGUUUGAAUGAGUUUUCCCAUUCGUUAAUUAUACAUCUUCCAUACACCACACAGUCGAGGAUUUGAAAUGACCACAACAUGGAGAAAUGAAAAAACGAAAGGCACAGACAAGAUCCGAAGGAGCUAAUGUGUAAAUAAAUAUGUUAAAGACCAAGUAAGCAGUCUCCCAAAUAAGGUUCCUUUUGGGAUUGCUGUUCAAAAUAGCGGUGCUAAAAGAAAAGAUGCUGGCGGGAAGUGUUAUAAAAAUCACAUGAGUGUUUGGUAAUUUUUUUAAUAUUUGCAUGUCUUGCAAUAAUAUUUUUGGUAUGAUUUGAAAUUAAAAUGUAGAUGCUUCCUGCAACAGCUGAAAAGCACCUUGUUCCAAAAACAUGGGGGAACCUACUUUCUCUAACAGCAACUUUAAGGCCAAAAGCUCUGUUUUUUUAAAUUUUGCCACACUUUUUUACCUACUUAUUGGUAAAAAAAACUGCUGAAGGUGUUUGCAACAACUAUACCAAACAGAGCCUAAGCAAUCAUGCAGGACAUGAAGCAUUUGGCAAACAUGUUCCUUUCAUUAAGCCCUUAAACUAAUUCCUGCCAUACCCUCAUAUCUUGUUUGGUUUGUAAGAAAGGGGUCUACAGAGUUCAAAUUCUUCCUUUGCUACUUUGCAAACAUAGGGUAAUAUAGUAAAAUUGAACAUAAAUGCAUAGUUUCUGCAACAAAAAUCUUCAUUAAAGGCGCUGCAAAACAAAGAAUACUUCAUAUAAAUCAGAAUAGAAGAACAUGCUUUACAAAAAUCAGUCUCAAGCAGCUAUAUGUGUUGUAGUGUAUGUUUUAAACAUUAUUAGAUUUUACAACCACUAGUCUACCUGCAGCCUCUUUUCUGAAGAAUAUAUCCGCACUGCUUUCUCUUUAUCGCUAGCUGGUUCCUGAAAAUAAUCAACAUUUACAAGUUGCACGAGCUACUCCUUAAAAUAUAAGCCUUAAAUAAUUUAAUCAUGGCAAGGAAUAAUACUUGACUAGAGCCUUAAAUAAUUUAAUCAUAGCAACGAUUAAUACUUGACUAGAUUAGUUGACGCAUAAUAAAUAUAAAAAAGAGAAAAAUCCUGAGACACAAACAGAUACACCAAUACCAGAAACCAGAACCAGACUACGAGUGUUAAUAGAGAGCCUGAUCACAUCCGGAGGAGACGGAUGAUGGCAUCCGUGAGGAGGGCAUAGUUAAUAAGCAUGAAAUGCGCAAGAGGCUACCAAGAGGUUAAGUGCAAAAUCAAGAAGAAACACACUCGAUAGAUAUAAAUUGAUGUGUAUAUCUAAUUAUAUAAAAUAAAUAUUAACAUUUAAAAGAAAAGAUUAUUGGUGGACACAAACAAGAAACUGGUACUCUCUUUUCAACAAACACAAUUUAUUUUCAUAACAAUAACGGAAGCUUACAUACAAUUGACACUAAAUUGGCUUCACUCAGUAAACAUCUACAUUUUUUGAAUAAUUUUUCACUCUUCUUGUAGUUGGAAUGUUAUAAUACUUGUUCAUAGAGGGGGAAGGGUGUGUUUCAUGAUCCUAUAUAGUUAGGAAUUCGUUUCUGGAGUGAUAUCUAGUACUUUCCGUAUCUGCUCUUAUUAUUGCAAUGUAAUUUUAUGGUGUUCUAUGCCAUGUUUGUACAAGUACGAUUCCCAAACAGAUGACUAUCCUACUAUUCGCACCAGCUUUUUCUUUUAAUGCCCUUUUGCAUCUGCUUAAAAUUCUCAUGAUUCUCAGCAUCUUUUGUAACUUUUCAAAAAAAACAAUCACACGUUAGAGGUAGUCACGAAAAAAACUUCUCUACUCAAAGGAGCAAAAUUAUGCUCACAUCUCACCUUUCAGACCUUAAGUCCGAGUAAGAUGUUUGGUUUUCCUUUAUUGACUCUUGGAGUCUUGGUCCAUCUGAGAAUCAAAUUUGAUGAGAAAGUGGAACAAGAGACAAGACUAAACUUCAAGUAAAAAUAAUGCAAGUGACAUCUAUCUGAUAAAAAAGAAGAGACGAACAUAGAACAAAUAGAAUUCUUAAGCAAGCGUUGCAGAUAAUGAGAUAAAGGAGUGUCCGCAGGCUCAGCCUUGCAGAUACAAUAGUAAUUACCUGAAAAGGGAACACAGCAAGCGGGCCAAAAAGAUCAGUUUUCACACUGGAGGUGCCAAUGGAACAAAUAGAAUUCUUAAGCCCACGUGAAUUCAGGAAUGCCUCAGUCUCUUUGGGAAGAGAAUAUCCUUUGAACACAGUAAUAGAAGGAUCAUACAUCUAAGCAAUCAAGAAUAAGUAUAAUAUAAGCAAGCAUGCACUUUUAAGAGUCAUCAUUAUACUAGUUACAGAACAUAUAAGAAGAUUAUGGGGCCGUUUGGGUGAGCUUAAAAUAAAUGUUUCUUGCUUAAAAUAAAAAAGUGGAGUAAAAGUUAGAAGCAAGUUAAGACUUAUAAGUGAUUAAAGUGUUUGGGAAAUAAGCAGAAACCCUGAAACAAAAGCUAGCAUUCAAAAGCUAGCAUUCCUAGCUUUUUAUAAGUGUUUCUUGACUUUUUACACAAACGGUAUAAAUAAGUGAUUUUAACUUAUAAACCAGAAGUCCGGCUUUUAAGCCGGAAACAAACACCCCCUAUAUAUUCCACUGACCUAGACAGUUAAUUAGUUUACUCUGAGUCGAUUUAACAAACUAAAUAAACAAAUUGAAGGAAUAUCCCGUUAAUAUUCAUGCCCUUAUCAUUCCAUAAUUGAAGGCGAUCACAGGCAUUAGGCUCUUAGGAGUGACAAAGAACAUAUAUACACACAACAUAAAUAGAAUAAAAGUGUAUAAUUACGCACGAGAAGGGCUUGAACGUCAGAAGAAUUGUCGUAUAGACCCACGAUGUCCCCCUUCCUCACAACAUAAAAGGCGUCUUCUUCAUCACCCAUUGGUUGAUUAAUUCAAGCUCUUGCUGCACAAAAUCAAAGGAAAUCUUCAACAAACAAUGUGCAGUUGAAAUUAAUCUUCCUUCAUCAAGAAAGAUUUAAAGGAAGGAAGUUUACCUUGUAUGAAUUCUUCAAGUAUGGUGGGUAGGUGGUGAAAAAAGAAGAGUAAAAAGUGUUUAGGGUUUAAUGGCGGGAAAGUGAACAAGAAGAGACAGGGAAGACGAGGGUGGGGGAGUGAUUGAUGAAGGAGAUGAUUAGGGUCGGAUCGGGUCGUGGUGCACCAGCGAGGACGGAUAACCAGCAGAAUCAAUUUUCAAAUUUGAUUUGCUUUCCACUAAUAGAAUUGAUACGAAUAUAAUUUUAUCAUAACCACUGGGGGCGAGCAAGAAUUCUCCAAACCGAUUUAAACCGGCCGAUCCAAAGCGUCCAAACCGAUUUUUAUGAUUUAUUAACGGUUUGAUUUGGUUACGGUUUGAAAUUUAAAAAACCGAAUUUUUUCGGUUUGGUUUCGGUUUUUACCUCUAAUCCGACCGAUAUAACCAAACCGAACCGAAUAUAUAUAUUGAAAUAAUAAUAUACAUGUGUGAAUAAUAAAUUGAUAAUAAAAUUAUAUUCUACAAAAUAUGUGAAAAAUAAAACAUAAAAAACUAUUAUUAUAUUUUAUUAAAGAAUAUUGAUAUACUAAUUUGUAUGUAUUAUUUUUUUGUUUUUUUAAUAAAAGUAUAAGAAUUACAUUUUUAUCAUCUUUCUCCCUCUCCUUAUAUUUAACAAGCUCUUAUAAUUUAAUAUCUUUCUUAAAAUAUAAUUAAAAUCUAAUAUACAAAUUCAUAAUAUAUUUUAAACUUUCAAUUCUUGUUUUGCAAUUUCAAGUUUAAUUUUGUCGUUGAAUUUGUUAUAUUGAUAAAAAAACGGUUUUAACCGAAACCAAUCCGAACCAAACCAUUUUAAAUGGACCGGUUCGGUUCGGUUUUUUUACUUAACGGUUUGGUUUCGGAUUGAAAUUUUGGAAAACCGAUAAUUUCGGUUUGGUUCGGUUUGGACCCUCAAAACCGUCCAAACCGACCAAUGCUCACCCCUAAUAACCACGGAUUGUUUCCCGUAUGAUAUAUGUUUUAUUUUAUAUAUUACUAGCCUUUAACCCGUGCGAAGCACGGACGGGUAUAUAGUUCGUAAUUUAUUAUUUAAAAUUUAAAUUUUUACAUCAUUUUAUUAAUAUUUUAGUAUUAAUGGAUUGAAUUUUAAUUAAAUUAUAUUAUUCAACUAACUAUAUUUUCUCUCAAUUACUUAAAAAUGGGCAAACCCUAAUAUAUAUAUAUAUAUAUAUAUAUAUAUAUAUAUAUAUAGGGUUGCACUCCACACAGAACAUCUUAAAAAAAGAACAACACAAAACACUAUCAUAACACUUCAUUUUUCAUAAAUAAUGAUUUGUUAAGGUUAUAAUUACAUAGUUAAGUAGUAAUUAAACUUGAUAUAUGAAUUCUAACAUCCAAACUCAUCCAAAUUAUUAAUAUGAAAUAUUAUAGAAUCCAGACUAGAAUCAAGAAUAGAAUCCAGAAUAGAAUCAUAUAGAUAUAUCUUUUGCACGAUUAUUUUACAUAGAAUCAUGUUAUUUUUAAUUUAUAUUUAUUGUUAAACAUGGUGGAUACUGUUUUUAUUCAUAAUAAAACGUUAAUCACCUUAAAAUUUGAAUUUAAUUCAAGGUUUUGAUGAGAUUCUACAUUUGAUUCUAAAGUGUUCUGUGUUGUUCUUUUUUUAAGAGUGUUCUGUUUUGAGUAAUGGCAUAUAUAUAUAUAUAUAUAGAGAGAGAGAGAGUAAGGUUCGAGGGAGAACCUUACUAUCAAGAGAACUGAGAGAUCUAAUAACAACCGUAGAUAUAUCCUAAUAUUAUAAUGAUUUAAAACCCAUAAAUUUAAUGGCAUUAUUGUAAUAAUCAUGUAUAUGCUGGGUAAAUGGCUUUCUAUUUUGGACAUGAUCAGCAAAGAAUCUUUUAAACAUGGAAAUUUGAAUCACAUUUAAUUGCAUACAAAUCAAUCACAAUAAAAUUUUAAAAGGAAAGAUUAUGCAAUAUACUCAUUAUUUAGAUAUAUAGAAACACAUAUAAUACAAAACAUAAUCUUAUCUUCUACAAUCACAGACGUAGAACAACUUAGUUGCAGAAUUCCAUGAUGGAGAACAGCGAGAAAAUUACAAGGUUUGUAUUCUAUCUUAUUAAUGUUUAGUGAGUGUUUUAAUCGAUUCUGUUAACUAAUCUCUUGGCAAACAAUGAAUUUAGCACUAACUACGAUUUUUUGUUUUUAUGCUGCAGUGUAAACUGAUUUCGUUAUGUGAUGUAUUUCGGGUUUGUCAAAUGACCAAAAAGAACGGAUUACGCAGACAGUGUUUAAUUCGGUGGUUGUGUUUAAUUUGAAGGAAUACCCUUAUCAUGUGAUGAACUUCGUGGUUAAGUGAAGACGAUUGAUGUGCUGGUGCACAAGAAACAACAGCAUGCGAACAUCAUUGAUCUAGAUUCUUUAAAGAAUCAUCACCCUGCUUGAUUUCUAAACCCACACCAAAGACAACCCCGUCCCCUGUUUUCUGUCAAUUUUCGUUCGAUGGUUACCGAGUUGUUUGAGCAGUGCGUUUUCUUUUGAUUUUUUUCAGUCCUGAUGCCGAGUCGUUUUUCUGAGUUGGGGUUCGAUUUUGUGUCCUGCGUACCAAGUCAUAGCUGUCUUUGCAUUCCUUUGCAAGUUUAUGAGUCUGAGUUUGUUUAGUUUUGUAUUAGUGGAUCAUUGCAAAAAUUCAAAGUUGAUAUAACUGAAGCAACAACAGCAUGCCAACAUGUUCAUAUCUUGAUUCCCUAUGGACGGCAACAACUUAUAUGAUGGAAAGAAAAUUCAAAGUCUUGAUUUAUUGCUGGAAAGCAGAAGAAAAUUGCUAUUAUGCCGGGCAAUCACGGAACUCAUGCUGCUAAACCAAGCCAAAAGAAUAGUUAGAGGAUUUGAAUUGGCUGUUCACUGGACUCAAGAAAAUUAUAAGAAUGAUUAUGUCAUUGUACUUUGUACACGAUGAAAAUGGUAGAACUUGUUCUUAAUGACAUUUUCUAAGAAAUCUUUUUUACAAAUGUUACUUGCAUAUGAUACAGUUCUGAAGUUCUCACAAACAACUUCAACAAUAUUUUAAUUAUAAUAAAAUUUAAAAUACUAAAAUUUAUAUUAUAGAAUAUUAAUCUAAUAGGUGUUCUGUUAUCUAAUAAGCCAUAUUUGUCACACACAAAACCCCAACCAAUUACAACCAUUAUUUUAGUCAAAAUAAUAUCAAGGUUCUGCUAGAUGUUCUUACUAUUUUAUUAAUAUAUUUUUAAUUAUUCGAAAAUAAAAUUUCCUAAAAUUCUACAAGAUGUUCUGAUAUACAUUUUGAAAUAAUCUACAUAUUAAAAUAAUAUUCUAUUAAUAAUUUAUGAAUAUUUCGUUAAUAUUUCAUUAUGUGUAUUUUUAGACACAAAGUUGAAUGUCAUGAUUUCAUUUUGUGUUUUAUUAGAUAUUAUAUUGAAGAAUAUUUGUGUUAAGAGUAUAUAUUUAAUCAAUAUUAAGGAUAAUUUAACCAUGAUUCAUUUAACUAUUCUAAUAAAAAUAUAUUAAAAAAGAUUCCUUUAUGCAUUUUAAAAGACAUUAGUGUUCCUCUGUAAAAGACUUCAAUUUUUAGUAUAGAUUGUAGACUUUUUUUAUCAAGAUUCCAUUAUAUGUUUUAUUAGAUUAAAGAUGAUUUGUGUAAAUAGAAUGUAAUUAUUCCAUAUGAGUGAGCAUUUAAAUGUGAUUCUUUUAACUAUUCUUACAAAAGUCAAGUGAAUUUCUAUAUAUAUUUAAAAAUAUUUUAACUGUUUAAAUAUUAUUACUCUAGUAAUAGUAUGCAAUAUCUUUGAUAAGAUUCAAUUAUGUGUUUUCAUAGCACACUUAAAGAGAAUUUUAAAUUACAUUAAAGAUUAUUUUAGAGAACUUUUUUUUUACUAAGGAUUUUAGAGAACUUAGUUGAAUUUUAAUAUCAAUUAUAUUCUCUUAAGGAGUCUACUUGAUUACCACCGUACUUAUAAUUUUUAUCUAUAAAAGAAAAGUUGUGGAAACAAAUUACUAACUAAUUUCUCAUUACUAAAAUGAAAUAUAAUAAAUUAAGAUUUUCAUUUAUUUAAAACACUUAAAAGAAUCUCCCGACAAAUAAUAUUUCUCAAACAAAUAUUUGUGUAUUUAUUUUAAUACACAUAUAUAUUCUCUCAAAUGUUUUAAAUAAUUUAAUUUUACUACAGUUAUACUUCUUUUAUAGAUUCUUCUAAUUACUGUCAUAUCUAUCUUUUUAAAAUUAAAUAUUAAUAUAAUUAUAUUCUCCUAAAGAAUAUACUAAUUUCCAUCAUAUUUAUCUUUUUAUCUGUAAAAGAAAAGUUGUGGAAUCUAAUUACUAACUAGUUUCCCAUUAUUAAAAUAAAAUAUAAUAAAUUACAAUUUUCAUUUAUUUAAAACACUUAAGAGAAUCUCCCAACAAAUAAUAUUUUUAUAAUAAAUACUUUGUAUUUUAUUUGAAUACACAAAUAUAUUGUCUAAAUUGCUUCAAAUAAUUGAAUUUUACCAUAACUAUAUUCCUUCAAAAAAAUCUACUAAUUCAAUUCAUAUUUAUCUUUCUAAAUAAUUGAAUUUUAAUAAAAUUAUAUUUUCGUACGGAAUCUAUUAAUUACCGUCAUAUUUAUAUUUUUUAUCAGUAAAAGAAAAGUUGUGGGAUCUAAUUACUAAGUAAUUUCUCAUUAUUAAAAUAUAAAAUAAUAAAUUAAUAUUUUUAUUUAAUUCAAUAUUUAGUUGAAUUACUACAUAUUAUAAUAUACUAAGAUUCUAUAUAUGUACACUUAAAGAUUCUUGUAAAAAUUAUAUAUUUAUAUAUUAGUUUGGGUUUAGAACUUCACAUGAAAAAAAUUCUCAUUUGUGUAUUAAAUUUUGAAAUUACUUUUGAACACACACAAUUAUGCGAAAAAACAUGUAUUUAGAUUUAAACCCUAAAAAUUUAAGCAUUGGUCCUCUCUCCGACCCUAUAAAAAGAAAAUUUAAUAAUAAAUUCUAGUAUAUAUAAUAAAGUAUAAUUCAAAUUAAAUUGAGAUUCUUUAAAAUGUUAUGAGAUUCUUUAAAAUGUACGCUCAAAUAUCGAAAAAUGGAUAUAGUAGAAUUUUUAAAUAUUUAUUUAUAAAAUAGACAUAAAAUAUCUAUUUUAAGUAAUUGAAAGAAUAUUAAGACGGUGAACUAUAUUUAAGUUUUUUUAAAGAAUCUCAAAAUUUUAUAAUUGAAAAAUAAUACUAACUUAAUUUAUAUUUAAAGAGCACUUUAUAGAAUUCCUAACAAGAAAUCAUAUAAAUUUGCUAUAAUAGAUUUCGCAAAUUAAUUCUUUAACUAAAUACUUUUACAAUAUUUUGAAGAAUCUUUAUUAGAAAACACAAUUUUUUAAACAAUAUUGAAAAAGAAAUAUUUCAUGGAUAAUAAACAACUGAUUCCUUAAACGUGAUACUUACACAAUAUUUGAAAGUAUCUCUGAUGAAUAAAUAUUUUCAUCAUCAUCAAUCUUUUGAAAAUUUGAAAUUUGAAAUUCAAAGUUAAUAUACAUUAAAUUCUCUGGUUGAUUGAUUAAGAUAUGGCGAAUAUAAAUAAGGAAAUCAAUUGAUUACAUAUCUUAUUAUUUAUGUUAAUCAAAUCAUUGGUCAUAAAUGAAAAUUGAGAUUGUUUAAAAUGUUCUAAGAUUCUUUAAAAUGUACGCUCAAAUAUUGAAGAAUGGGUAUAGUAUAAUUUUUAAAUAUUUAUUUAUAAAAUUGACAUAAAACUUUUAUUUUAAGUAAUUGAAAGAAUAUUAACAUGGUGAACUAUAUUUAAGUUUUAUUAAAGAAUCUCAAAAUUUUAUUAUUGAAAAAUAAUACUAACUUAAUUUAUAUUUAAAGAGCACUUUAUAGAAUUCCUAACAAAAAAACAUAUAAGUUUGCUAUAAUAGAUUUCGCAAGUUAAUUCUGUAACUAAAUACUUUUACAAUAUUUUGAAGAAUCUUUAUUAGAAAACUAAAUAUUUAUACAAUAUUGAAAAGAAAUAUUUAAUGGAUAAUAAAGUACUGAUUUAUUAAACGUGAUAUUUACACAAUAUUUGAAGAAUAUCUGAUGAAUAAAUAUUUUCAUCAUGGUCAAUCUUUUGAAAAUUUGAAAUUUGAAAUUCAGAGUUAAUAUACAUUAAAUUCUCUGGUUGAUUGAUUAAGAUAUGGAGAAUAUAAAUAAGGAAAUCAAUUGAUUACAUAUCUUAUUAUUUAUGUUAAUCAAAUCAUUGGUCAUAAAUGAAAAUUUGCCCAUAAAAUAUUUUUUAUUGAUAUCCGAUUAUGCCCUUUACUGAAUCAUUUAUAUAUAUAUAUAUAUAUAUAUAUAUAUAUAUAUAUAUAUAUAUAUAUAUAUAAAAGGUAUAGUUCAACGAGGAACUCCCUAUCCGGGUAACCGGGUAACUUUACAUCUCAGCCAUACAAUAUGCAUGCGCUCUACUUCUGUAACUGUAUACCUGUAAACCUAAAACACCUAACCACGUGACCACUUAUUCUCAAACACAUACCACAUAUAUUUCUCUAUUCAUUAUUAUUAACAUUCUUUAUCUUUUAAUUAUAUUAUUUACAGAACAUAAGUCUAUAAAUAAAUAGUUUUAUUUAUAAUCAUAAUUUUAAUCAUUAGUUUAAAAAUAUUAUUUAUAUGUGUAAAUAUGACUGUAAUUAAUUUACAGGACACAUAUUAUAUUUUAUUUACAGAACAUAAGUUUAUAAAUAAAUAGUUUUAUUUAUAAUCAUAAUAUCGUGUUCUGUAAUUAAUUUACAGAACAUUAGUUUAAAAAUAUUAUUUANNNNNNNNNNNNNNNNNNNNNNNNNNNNNNNNNNNNNNNNNNNNNNNNNNNNNNNNNNNNNNNNNNNNNNNNNNNNNNNNNNNNNNNNNNNNNNNNNNNNNNNNNNNNNNNNNNUUAUAAUUAUCUUUAGUAUUAAUAGAUUGAAUUUUAAUUAAAUUAUAUUAUUCAACUGACUAUAUUUUCUCUCGUUUACUUGAAAAUGGACAAACCAGAAUAAAUAUAUAUAUAUAUAAAGAUUUUAGUACAUUUAAUCCGAAUUUAGUACACACAGAUUUAAAAAUAAAAAAAUCAGAAAAUUCUAAUUUUUUCCAAACAUAGCCGAUCGUGUAAUACCUUUGAAAGAUUCCGUAAUCUAAUUAAUCGAAUUUCAACGUAAUUUUGUGAUCUUGUUUUUUUUGACAACAAUAACUUUUAAUAUUAGAUUUAGAAAGGGUUAUGUAAUGAUUAUAUUGAAAUAGAACAUUUUAAAGUUAAAAAGAGUUAUACGAAAGUUCUUGUUAAAAAAAGAUAUUCAAAAUUGUAUAUUUAUAAUUUUAUUUAUAACAUCAUUAUAAUUUUUUUAAUGAAAUAUUAUAUGAUAAUGUAUUGUUAUGAGUGUUUUUAGUAUUUGAAACUGUUUAUGAUACUAAGAGACUCCAUAUUUGCAGACUUGUAGUACCAAACCAAAAAAUAUAACUAAAACCUUGGAUUACAAAUUAUACCCAUGUUGGCUUAUUAUAGUAUAGUAUAGAUUUCGAAAUUAAUUUUACAAAAGUAUAAAAGUUCAUAAAAAAUAACUUAUAAUACUUUAUCAUUAUUAUUCUAAUAAUACUUUUUCAUAUUUGAUACUCCUUCCGUCUCAAUCAUUUGUUUACCAAUGAUUUGGUCAUGGAUUUUAAGAAAUAUGUUUAAAGUAGGAAAAGAUAAAGAAAAGUGGGUGGAGUGGAGUGGUGUGAAACAUUGAUUUUAACGUAUGGAAAAGAGAUAAUGAAAUAAUGUGAAGUGAAGAAAAGUGGGAAAUUGAUCGGAUCUAUUGACUAUUUUUGAUAAGUUUUGAAAUGCAAAGAAAUUAUUCAAAAAAAAACUGUAAAAAAUGAUUGUGACAGAGUAAAUUAUAAACAUCAAAACAAUUAAAAAAUAGUUGUAAUUUUGUUUUCUAUCCGUGAGUAAUCAAAAUCGAUUUCAACUACCGACACAAAAACAUGAGAGUCCGUCAAAAAAAUGACACGAAUAUUUUCACAUUUUACGUAUUAUAUUGACCGGUUUGUCUGGUUGGUGGUAGGGGUGGCAAUCGUUUCGUUUCGUAUACUUUCGUUUCGUGUAUUUUCGUGUUUCGUGUACUCGAAGGUGAAACCCGUAUCCGCCCGUUAUUAAUUUCGUGUACCUAAUUUGAAACCCGUAUCCGUUUCGAAUCGUUUCGUGUAUAUUUCGUGUACUUUUCGUGUAUAUUAUAUAUAAAGAUAUUAAUAUAUUUUUUAAUCAAAAAAUGGAUUUAAUAUAUAUUUUCCUUUAUAAAUUUAUUAAAUGUGAAUGAUAUAUAUUAUACUUGUAUACAAUUCUUUAUAAAUUUGUUAAUGUAUCUACAAUAUAUAUCCACACAUACAUAUAAAUAUAUACUUUAUACUCAAUUAUAUAUUUAAUAUAUCAUUACAUAUAUAUAAUAAAUAUAAUCUACAAAUCUUUCGUGUAUUUCGUGUACCCCAAAUGAAAACCCAUAUCCGACACGAAAUCUAUCGUGUAAUUUCGUGUUCGUGUACUUUCGUGUUUCGUGUAUCGAAAAUCAAAACCCGUAUCCAUUUUUUUCGUGUCGUUUCGUUUCGUGUUAGCGUGUUACGUGUCAAAUUGCCAGGCCUAGUGUGUGGGCACAUGCUAGUGCGGAAUUCUAAAAGUUUGACCGGUCAUUUUUAUUACCUCUCAUAUCUUAAUAAUGAUGGAUCACUCCAUAUUAGACCUGGCAAUUCGGUACACGACACGAAAAGUUUGGGUCUGGUUUUUAAUAUUCGGUACACGAACACGAAAGUACACGAACACGAAAAGUACACGUUACUAUUAGUGUCGGGUUCGGUUUUUAAUAUAAGCACACGAACGACACGAAAGUACACGAACUAAAUAAAUAAAUAUAAAUUAAAAAAAUAUACUAUACUUAUUUAUAUAUAUUCUUUAAUCAAUUUCAGUUCUGUUAUUUCAUUUGUGUUAUCUUAUGAAUUUAUUAUAUGUCUAAUCUAUUGUUUGUCAUAGAAAAAUUGUAAAAAUAAUAAAUUUAUUGUGAAAUCCGUGUACUUUCGUGUACAAAUGUGUAUUUCGUGUACAUUUCAUCCAAACUAUUUGUGGCACACGGAAGGUAUACGAAAUUUUUCGUGUACGGUUCGUGUUGACACGAAAUAAUUUGGUUCGUGUACGUGCUGCAGAACUGGUACACGAAACCCAAACAGUUCGGGUUCGGGUUUAAGGUUCAGUACACAAAAACACGAAAGUACACGACACAAACUGUUUGCCAGAUCUACUCCAUAUUAGAGCUGAACAGAAGGACCGGCCUGCUAGGCCCAGGACCGGUCCUUAAAAAGGUCGGGCUUUUUUAAAUAAGCCUGGACCAUGCUUUUCUUGUUACCGGGCCGGGUCAGGCCUGAUAAUUUCUGAAAAUGAAGGACUAUCAUUAGCCUGGUGGAUCAGCCCAGUCUAACCGGGCUUUUGUUUCCCAAAAUAACUACAAUAUAUACAUAUUUCUGGAAAUUGCCUGCCAGGCUUUUAAGUUGGAGGAAAACUUGUUAGUCAAAAGUGGAAUCUUACUGUUUAGGUAUGUCAGUGCCAGGAUAAAGAGGAUAUUUAAGACAAUUGAAUAGGCAAAUAAUGCAAAUACACAUAUCCAGUACAUAUAUUCAUCCACAAUCACAAACAUCCCUUUGCAUAAGAACAUAAACAGGCUUUUCCAGAAAUAUCCAGGCUUUUAUUCGGCUUUUGUCGCUAAACGGGCUUUUACCCGCCAGGCUUUUAUCAGGGCUAUCAUCGGGCCGGGCCGGCCGGGCCGGAUUUUUAUCAUAAAAUUAAGGCCUUGUAAGGACUUGCAGGCCAGACUUGGACCGGUCCGGACUUUUUAUAUCCAGGCUUUAUCCGGGCUUAUCCAGAUAGGCUUUUUAGGACCGGUCUUUUUGUUCAGCUCUACUCUAUAUACAACCACCACAUCAAUCAAAAUCUCUCAAACAUAUAAAAUUCCGCGCUUAACAGGUGCUCACAGAUACAAACUAGACAAAACCACACCAGACAAACCGUAUAUGGAAUAUGAUAUUUUUUUUUAGCCUCCACUGACCUAUUACUUACUCCCUCCGUCCCAAUGAAUUAUACACAUUGGGACCGGACACGAAAACCAAGAAAAAGUGUAAGAAAUGAGUAAAGUUAGAUGUAAAGUGGGUAAAGUGGUGGGACCCACAUAUUUUUUAAUAAUAGAUUUGAAAUAGUGGAGUAAAGUAGUGGGUGUAAUAGUGUUUUUAUUAUUAUAUAAUGGAGACAGUGGGAGAAUGUAGUGGGUGUAGUAGUGUUUUAUAUUAUAAAAAGUUGCUAUUUUGAAAAUGUAUAGAAAUGAUGGGACAUCCCAAAAAGAAAACUGUAUAGAAUGAUUGGGACGGAGGGAGUAUCGGUUUAGAACGAUUUAAUCACGUCAUCUGGUUGCGUGCGUCAGUCAUUGAUAGCAACUCAUCUUAUUUGGCUGAGGAGCCAAAAAUAUCCUACAGUUUUUGACAUCCUAAAUACAAGUAUCUGGUUCAUAUCCUGCAGUAUAACAAACUUGGCUAUUUAUGCAGAAAUUAAGUUUAAUAUCGAUAAAUUCUCAAUUUAUGAUUGAAAAUAUCCGUUGAUUUUUUCAGAUAAUAAAUUUGAAAAGCCGUCACAAUUUUCUACUAACGUCGUAAAUUUCAUAUAGCAGCGCAAGUAUUAGUCAUAAGUUAUCCGUAUUAAAUAACCAUAUUUGUUGCAGUGCAGCAGGCCUAACCCCAGAGGAGGGACGAGCUAGGGUCUAGGGGCCUCAUUAUAUACAUCAGUUAUCAAAUAUCGUAUCGUUGGAUGGUGGUACGGCUUAAUUAAAAUACAUCAUGCAGAGAUCUGUUCACACUCCCCUGUCACUUGUGAUGAACCAUCAAUGUGCCAACCACAGUGUAAACAUCCAGGGGCGGAUCUAGGAUCUAAUCUUAGAGGGGACACCAAAAUAUUUUCUUAAUUAACUCAUAAGUCAUAACAGAUUGAUAAAUGUACCUGCAUGCUAGUCAAGAACCAGCAAGGCAGCAACCACAGUCUCACAAGUCACAGCCAAGCCAAAAGUAUAGUAUUUUGCGACAGUAUUUAAAUUCUUUCGCAAUCCUGGAUCAGCUUCAAGUUCAUCUACUACAGUUUCCGGGUUUAAAUCUGGUGGGUAAGAUUCAGGAACAUCUACAAUUGGAGACUCAUUUACUAUUGGCUGGGGAGGUGUUGGAGAUGAGGGGGGAGAUGUUCGGAGUUUUUUAUAGAAUCGAUGCAUAAUUGAUUAACUGUUUAACAAAUAUAGGGUUGACAUUUUAAGUAUCAACUAACGAUAAUCAAAAGCUUACAAAGUUACAGUAGGGGAAAAAUAAACACACCUUAAUUUUGUAAUCACAGAAUUGAGAAUUCCCCCUUUUCAGCUGUUGCCUGCUACUCUGCUAGCCUGCUGGUACCCAUCAGGCCAUCACCCAUGACCUAAUAAUUUGAAUUUAAAGCAUAAACACAACAGAUAUCUAUAAAUUAGACACACAGUGACAAUAUAAACAUACUUUGUUUAAUCUUUAGAUUCCGGAAUUACUCUGCAGAAGAACUGAAGAAGAAACAUCCAUGGAUUAGGCGGAGCUCGGACAGGUAAGGACAGAAAACGCAGCGCUCCACAUCAGAAGCCUCAAGCACAUAUCUAAUUAACUAGUAGCUGAUAGAUGAUUCAGUGAUUGUAUUCGGUUUGUAUUUGAUCGGUGGGUAAUUUGGAUUAAUAAAAAGGUGAGUACUUACACUAGCCAGGCACAAGCUCUGCUCGAGAGAACAGACUGCAGAGACUAAAACAUAUGUUAUAUCUAUUCAUAUUUUUAAUAUAAAUAUAUGUGUACAAAUUACCUUUUAGUUCCUUAUAAUUUUAUUAAACCACUGCAACUUACUUGAACUUUUAAAAUUCGCGGGGACACCCCUAAAUUUUCAAAUUUUUUAGGGGGACACUUAUAUUUUUUUCCCGAAAUCACGGCGGUAAUUUUUUUUUUUUUUUAAAUUAGGGGGGACACGUGUCCCCCCGUGCCCUUUACUAGAUCCCCCCUGUAAACAUCAAUGAACAAUUACGUACAGACACAGUAUUAAUGCUGGACCAAGUUCGUGCAGUUUUGGACUACUGGGAAAUAAUGGAUGCGAUCCUUUUGAACACAUUUUUACCCGCCCUUUGAGUGGUGCAGAAUAGAUCAGGAGAGAACGAUUAGUGUGAAAAAAUGGGGAUGACAAACCCGUCAAAGAGGAAAUUAAAAAGCCAAUUUCUUCGCUCUCUUUUUUAUAAUAAAAUAUGAUUGUAUAAUUUAUUUUUAAUCUUUUAAAUAAAAAUUAUAAAUUUAAAUUUUAUUAAAAAAAUAUUUAGAAAAGUUUAUAAAAUUAUACUUAGCCUCAGCUCAUCUAAUAAUAUCAUGAUAGGCCAUAUAUAUUGUGCAUGUUUGAAGUUUGAUAAUAGAAGCAGAAGUUUUUGUUUUAGAUUUUUAAAGUAAGUCAGAAAUACUUGUUUUCUUAAAGAUUUUUUUAAGUGAUUUAUAUUUUAUUAUGAAAUUUCUAAAUUUUUUAAAGUGUAAUAAAUUUUAUUUAUGAGUAAUGUUUCUUGUAUUUUAAUAUUUUAUAUUAAAAUUUAUAAAUUUAAAAACCAAAUACUCAAUUAACUUAUAAGUAAAUUUAUUCACAUAUAUUUAAUAAUUAGUAAGUUAGAUUCACUUAUCAUUUAUAAUUUAAUUCUUAAUUACAUUUAAUUUUUGACUUUUUGCGUGUACACUGAUCGCGUAGUUUUAUUAAUUAAUUAUAUUUUUUCUAUACAAAUAUUUAUAUAUUAAAUUUUAUUUAUAAGAAUAAAUUAAAAAAAUAAAUUACUAGAGAGGUGCUUAAACUGUUCUAAAAUGGCCUGGCCGGUAAUGACACCGAAAAAGAGAAGUAAUUUAAAUUUACUGGAACUUCCCAUUAUUUAUACAAUACAAGAUUCUAUAAGAUUCUAUAAUAUUUGUUUAUGAUAUAUUUAAUCUGUAAAUAUAUUCAUUUGCAAUAAUGUUUUAAUUUUGAGUUGACAAAAAUAUAAGUAACAUAUAUUGCUAUUUUUUUAAGUUGGUUCAAUUACUGAAUAACUCCACAAUUAAAUAGACUAGCUUAGAUCCGGUGAUUCACAAUAUUUACUCUAAACUUAAAUAUAGGGAAAUCUACAAAACUACCUACCUUUUCUUUUAUUGUUUUCAAAAAUACUAUUUUUCAGAAUUAUUUUUAAAAAUACCUUUUCAUAAAAAAAAAAUUCAAAAAUACCGUUUGCAACUUUUGAAACCUCAUCUGCAACUCCAGGCGGCGCCAGCCGUGUUGCAACCUCUUUUGCAACUUCAUAUGCAACCGAAUUCCUGAUUUCAAGUUCCAGUUUUCAAAUGUCUACUGGAACUUGAAAGCAGGAAUUGUAAUUGCAUAUAUGGUUGCAUAUGGUUGUAUUCAGUUGCAUAUGGCUGCAUUCAGUUGAUUCUAUUGCAAUCUAAUGGCCCCGCCAGGGGCACAUCAUACAUCUGUUGUUACUUACAGUUUUCAGUUGCAUUUAGUUGCAACUGAGGUUGCAAAUGAAGUUUCAACUUCAUUUGCAGCCUCAUUUGCAACUUUUGCAACCUCAUUUGCAACUUACAGUUUUCAGUUGAACUAGUUGCAAUUGCAGUUGCAACUUUCUAUUUUUAUUUGCAACUUUUGCAACCUCAUUUGCAACUUUUGCGGCUGCGCCGCCCAAGGCAGUUGCAAAAGUUGCAACUUCAUUUGCAACCUCAUUUGUAAAUUUUUUUUUAUGAAAAUGUAUUUUUAAAAACAAUGAAAAAGAUGGUAGUAUUUUUAAAAAAAUAAUUUUACAGAUGGGUAUUUUUAAAAAAAUCCCUUAAAUAUAUUAACAUUUAUUUUAUCCCACUAAAUAUGCAAACUCUCGUAAUUAUUAUCUGAAAAUUUAUUACACUUCCCUUCCAUAAAAACUAUCUAGGAAGUUUAAUAAACAUGUUUGGUUGACAAAAUUAUAUCGGAAGUCUAAUAAACAUAUUUGGUUGAUAAAAGUGAAUUCUAUACUAAUUAUGUUAAUUAUUUUGUUUAACUAAAUUUAAAAUUUAUUAUUAUUAAAUUUUGAAUAACAUUUUUAUCCUUUAAUUUAUUAUAAAAAUAAUUUGAUCAAUAUUUUUAUAUAUUAUUAUUCCUUAUUAUAACAUUGACCUAAGAUGUAUUUUAUAUAAAUAUUUACAUAUUAUUUUAUUAAACAAAUUAGGUAUUCAAUUUAUCCCUGACUUUUGAUAUUUAUAAGGUUUUGACAAUAUAAUAUUAUUAAUAUGUUGUCAUUUUCUUUUUAUUAUUUUAUUAGAUUAAAUGAACAUAUUUUACAAUUUUGUUAAUGAAGAAAUACAAUUUAACAAUUAUAUUUUCAGUUACAUAAAAUAACAAUAAAAAUAACAAUCCUAUAAUUUUUUGAAAUUUACUAAUUAUUUCUACUAUUAUACGUGUCAAUAUAUUAUUUUAGAGCAACUAAUGUUUUUUCCCGGUAUAUUAAAUAAAAAUUAAAUUUACGCGUGUCCCAGAAUAAUAUUUUAAGUUGCACAUAAUGAAUAAAUAAAUAAAAUAAUUAUAAUUUUUAAAUUUAAUUAAUUAUUAUUAAUAUUAUAUGUAUUAGUAUAUUAUUUCAGAGUGGAUUAUGUAGUUUUAUGUUAUAUUACAAAAAAUUUAAAUUAAGUACGUGAUGCAGGAAGUCUGAGUAACGAGGGGGGAGUGGGCAAGUAAAUUCCUACGUUCUACAGCUAAUGUAACUUCCUGGUGACUUCAACUUCCUGUGUUUUAGGUCAACCAAACAACUGCAUAUAUUAGCACUUCUUAGGUAUUUUAAAUACCUGACUAAUUUCUGGUCUACCAAACGACCUCUUAGUACUUGACCUGUAUCCUUGCCUUGUGUGCAUGUUAUAUUUGAUCCCGGGCAGAUCAUGGCUUGCGUGUGGUUUUUUCUAAGGGCUUACAUGUGUUGGCCAACAAUAACAUGUUUUAUUUGGAAAGGAAAAAAAUUUAGAGCCGUUCACGAGAGCGAACAAGCUUGAGCUCGACUCGAUAAAAGCUCGGUUCGACUCAGUUCGUUAAGAAUUCGAGUUCGAGCUCGAACACAUAAAUGUGUUCGUUAAGAAAACGAGCUCGAGCCGAGCUUUUAGUGUGUUCGGCUCAAGCUCGGCUCGUUAAAACUCGAAAAAACACAAUAUUUUUAGGGUAAUUUCGUAAUAUAACAUGUUAUUGAACGCCGAUUUCAACAUAUAAUAUAUCAAAUCGAUCAGAAGAAUAUUAACUAUAAUAUGGUACAAUCAAAACACACUAAAAAUUUAUUUGGCUUGCUAUUUUAAGAGUUAAGUAGCGAUUUGACCUUAUUUUUAUUUUUUUCUGACUCGGCUCGGCUCGGCUCGACUCGUAUGUGUUCAUGAACAAGCUCGUGUUCGGCUCAUUAGUUAAUGAGCUCGAGCUCGAACACAAUUUUUUGUUCGAUAAGAAAGCUCGGCUCGGUUCGAUAGGAAAAAUUUAAAACUCGGCUCGGCUCUGUUCGCAAACAGCCCUGGGAAAAAUUCCUUCCAAUCGUGGUUAAAUUCCCGUAUCCUUUUCAAUGUCAUUUACCACACCAGUUCAGAACGAUUUGAUCACGUCUUCCGGUUGCGUGCCAAGUCUAUGAUAGCAAAUCAUUUUAUUUGGCAAGGAUAUCCCACAGUGUUUGGCAUCCGAAAUACAAGUAUUCCUUUCCUGGUCCAUGUACAGCAUGCCUAACCCUGGGGGAGGGACGGUUUCGGGGCCUCAGGGGAGGGAGGGACGAGUUCGGGGGCCUCAAGGUAUAUCAUUUACUAUCAAACAUCAAAUUGGUGAACGCUGGUACGUAGUCAGCGGCUUAAAAUAAAUCAUGCAGAGAUCUGUUCACACUCCACAGUGUGAUGAACCAUAAUGUGCCAACCAUAGUGUAAACAUAAACAUUAUUCCAUUUAUUCGUGCAAUCAAUGAACAAUUAUGUACAGACACAGUAUUAAUGCUAGACCAAGUUUGUGACAGAGAAAGCAGUGGACGGAAUAACUGACAGUUUUGGACUACUGGGAAGUAAUCGAAGUGAUCCUUUUAAACUCAUCUACCCACCCUUUGAGUGGAGUAGAAUAGAUGAGGAUCGAUAGAAGGAUUAAUGUGAUAAAAAUGGGAUGGCAAACCCCGUCAAAAAGGAUAAAACCCAUUUCUUUAAUUUUUUUUAUGAAAUAUGCUUGCAUAAUUUGUUUCUAAAUCUUUUUAUAUUAGAGUUUAUAGAUAAAAUUAUUAUUCAAAAAUAUAUUUAAAAGCUAUAUUUUAUAAAAUGCGUGCCAAAUAAUUUAUCCCGACAUAAACAAUAUUUGCAUUGUUUGUGUAACGAACUUAUAAGUCAAUUUCCCACUGAUAAGUCAGAAUGUGAGCGGUUGAAAAUUCUAAUUUUUUUAGUGAUUUUUUUUAUCAAUAAAAUUUGAUUUUACAAAUAUGUAGUGGAUCAUUUCAAAAGAUAAUUUAUAAUAAUUUAUUGUUAUAUUAAUAAUUUUUAUAUUUAAUAAAUUGUAAAUAUCAAAAAAAAUUAUUCAAAUAAACAAAAUAGACAUUACUUUUUACUUAUAAUUAAAUUAUCAUUUAUAAAUAAUAAUUAAAUUUCCUUUUUGAAAAAUUAAAUAUUUUUUUAAUUAUGCCAAACAAUCCUUCUCGGCUUGCACGUGUUACACAACAUUAAUAUGUUUUAUUUGAAAGGAUAGUCUAUAAUUCCUUCCAACCAUUUUAGCGGCUAAAAAAGGAUAGAAACGAUCAAAGUCAAUCAUAUUGGAAAAAGAAAGUGUGUAUAUUUAAAGAAAAUGAAAAUGAUUUGUGGUUAAAAAAAAGUUGAUUAUAAUUAAGAUGUAAAUAAGUUAAUAAGAUGUUUGAAAAGACAUCAGAAGCCUUACCUUCUUAAAGUUUUUCUACCUUUUGCAGCCCAUGUCAUUCAUUCUAUCACUUACAAAUAGAGUAAUUAUAAUUUAGCACAUGUGAUCACAAUUAAAUUUAAUUUACUAUAUCUUAAUAUUGUAGUUUAUAAUUAAAAGUCUAAAACACUUAUAUCAAUAUUUAUAUUACACAUUUAUAUCAAACUUAUAUAUAAUUAUUUCAAUAAUCUACAUCUAUAUGUUUCAUUAUUAUUUUGUUAAUCCAUCAUUAUAGAAUAAUAAUUAGGUAUCAAAGUCAAAGCAACAAUUAAACAUAUCACCUUGAACCGUUAUUAAAAAAAUAUAAAUAUAUAAAAAUAAUAUAAAUAGUCAAUCAAAAUAUAAAUAAUAUAAUAAUAAAUAUUGAACUUGCAGUAAACUAAUAUAAUGAAUAAUUAAACAUAAUUAUACAAAAAAAAAUAUCCACACUUGUCAUUAUCUUAUCUAGAAGGCAGAUAAAUUUAAAACGGCUAAAUUCAAAGAAAUUUUGUUUUAUUCAAUCACAAUAGAGUGUUUUUACUUUGGGGCAGAACAUUGCGUGCCUGCGAGGCACUCUGUCUGAUUUGCAUCCAUUCAUUUUAAAAAUAUCAAGAACCGUACAACAAAAAUUUAACAUCUUUAAUGUUCUAUAUAUAUAUAGAACACAUACUAAAGUUACAAUUAUAUACUGAAGAAAAAACUGAAAAGGAUUAGAAAUGGAAAGCACCAGUUCUUUUAGCUGGCUGACCGCUUCUCUUUUAGCUGCAAUUGUUACUGUUAUGCUGAAAUGGAUGCAUGCAAGUUUUUUUUCAACUAAACAGAAGCCACCAGGUCCGUUAGCAUGGCCCCUGAUUGGAAAUAUUUUCGAUCUUGGAAGCAUGCCACACCAGAGCCUAUACAAACUUCGGUGGAGAUAUGGACCUGUGAUUUGGUUGAAGCUCGGUUUAGUGAAUACCAUGGUCAUACAAUCAGCCAAAGCUGCAGCCGAGCUGUUCAAGAACCAUGACGCCGUCUUCUCUGAUCGUAAGGUCUUUGAUGCACUAACAGCCUGGAACUACAACCAAGGGUCAUUAGCCAUGGGCAAUUACGGUCCAUAUUGGCGCACAGUCCGAAAACUCUGCUCCAUGGAGCUCCUAGUCAAUAGACGAGUCAAUGAUUCAACUGAGAUCCGGGAGAAGUGUGUUGAUAAGCUAGUUUGCUGGAUAGAACAGAUCAUUGCAUCCUCGCAAGUUGAGGGAAAAUCAGGCGAGGUGGAACUGUCCGAACUCUUAUUUCUCAUGGCAUUUAACGUGGUGGGCAACCUCAUGCUUUCAAAAGAUCUUCUGGAUUUAUCUUCCACUGAAGGACGAGAAUUCUUCGAUGCAAUGAACCAAGUCACGAAAUGGGCGGGGACACCUAACUUGGCAGACUUCCUGCCAUUCUUGAAGCCGUUUGAUCCAUUCAGAGUUCGAAAAAAUAUGGCUAAAGGCAUGGGCGUAGCCAUCAAUAUCAUAAGCAGCUUUCUGAAAGAAAGGGGUCAUGAAACUAUGUCGACGGAGAAGGUGAAGAAGGACUUCUUGGAUGUCCUUUUGGAGUAUCAAGGGGACGGAAAAGAAGGACCGGACAAAAUUUCUGAUAAGAAUAUAAUUAUCAUAAUACUGGUAACAAAAUCCUUUCAUUUAAACUUUCUUCUUUUCAGUUGAAUUCCUAGUUAAAUAUAAGUUCUACUUUUCUAAACCCAUUUGUGUAAAAAAGUUAUAAAUACUUAUAAAAAGUUGAGAAUGUUAGUUUUCUUUUCUCGGCUUCUACUUCUUUUGAAACAGUUUAAUAACUUAUAAAUCUAAACUUCUUUCUCACUUAUACUCCAAUUUUUUAGUUUAAGUAAAAGUCACUUCUUUUAAGCUAAACCAAACGGUCCCUUUAUCGCUAUGAGUUCAUCUUAGUUAGGUUGUGGUAGUUUGUUCAUUGUUGCAUCAGUUAUUGAGAGCCGGUAGUUGUUGCAGGAAAUGUUUUUCGCUGGGUCAGAAACUACAAGCAGUAGCAUAGAAUGGGCAAUGGCAGAGCUAUUACGCAACCCUGAAUCGAUGAGGAAGGUCAAAGAAGAACUUGACAGUGUUAUCAUGCCUAACAAAAGGGUGAUGGAGAGUGACAUCGAUAAACUACCCUAUCUGCAAGCCGUGGUAAAGGAAAGCCUGAGACUCCACCCGACAGUCCCUUUACUGCUCCCACGAAAUUCAAUGGAAGACACCAAUUUCAUGGGGUAUCACAUACCCAAAAACACCCAAGUUUUUGUCAAUGUGUGGGCAAUCGGAAGGGACCCUGAUACAUGGGACGACCCCUCGUCUUUCAAGCCCGAAAGGUUUAUAGGCUCGAAUAUCCAUUACAAAGGGCAGCACUAUGAGUUGCUUCCGUUUGGCUCUGGGAGACGGAUUUGUGUUGGAAUGGCCCUGGCUCACCGAGUUCUUCACCUAACUUUGGCCACCUUGCUUUGGACUUUCGACUGGGAGCUUGGCAACUCCCUUACUCCACAGACUAUCAACAUGGCCGAGAGGACUGGUAUAACACUAAGAAUGUCGGAACCUCUUAAAGCAAUUCCGAGAAAAAUCAAUCGGACGUGAUGGCCAUUAUGUGUGAAGGUGAUACGGACAUUUGCACAUUACACGGCUGCUUUGUUGUCAAGUAUAAUUUCAAUUCUUAAGUUCCUUUGUCUAGAAAAAAUGUCUACGUACUUGAUAAAGUUUCUUCUUCUUUAUUUUCGCAAAUAGAUGUGUCUAAUUAUCGCAAAGAAAUUCUUCUUUGUUAUUAUGUGUAUAUUAGCUAUCAACCAAUAAUUAAAUGUAGUGUACUACAAGAUUGUUGUAUAUUGAACAGUGUCACCAUACUCCAGCCUUCGAAUAUAGUAGUUGCUUAAACUAUUCAACGAACAAUAAGUAUUAAGCAGGAUGAACCGAGAACAUGCUGGCAGAGGGCCAUCCUGAGUUACAAUACGGCCAUUAACUUUUUGCUACUGUAAUAACUGAAGUCCGAAUUUCGGAUCGGAUUCGGGUAUAUUACCCGGAACCCGAAUUUUUUUUCAAAGUACCUAUAAACAUAAGUUUCAAAGUACAGUAAUAAAAAAAAUUCAUGUCAAACUUGGAAGCUUAACGUUUUACAAACUUGAAAUAAGUAAUGACCAAAAUCUCAAUCUCAAGGAGACCAUAAAAACUACUCCAUAGAAGGUGAUAUAUUCUAAGAGCUCAGCCUUGCUUUUUUUAUGCUUCUUUGGUGAUCUUAGAGUAGUAUGCCCAAUCAGAAUGAGAGGAUGUUAUUGCAGGCUGUCCAAAAGGAUUAUCUUGAACAUAAGAAGGAGCAUUGGCUGCUUCAACAAGGCCAUCUAGGAACAACUGCAGCUCCCCGGCCCUCUGGACCAAGGCUACUUCUCCAAGGAUAAAUCAAAAGUAACCUCUGGUUUCUCCUCAACAUCGUCACUGCUUUCAUUUGAAUCUAAAACGUUUUUCUGUUUCAAAUUUGUCUGCAUUGAUGCCAUGAUAUGAAAUCUUAGAGAUACUAAUGGUUGUCAGAUUGGUCAGGGACUUCUGCUCCAUAUAUGACAGAACUGCAUUGUUAGGCACAUGCAUAUAAAUAGAAGGAGGUUUUACUAAAAUCAUACACAAGAUUUUGUAAAUAGAAUAUGGUACUUAUUAUAAAAUUCAUAAUUAUUUUCCCUCUUUCUAUUUUCUGUUUAGUUAUUUUGAAAUAGCAUACACAAAUUAUUAAAUGUAUAUAUAUGUAUAUAAUACAUGCCGUUAUAUGAUAACGGAUUACCAGAAACUAAUCCAGUGUUGUCACUACUAUCAAAUACACCAGUUUAGAACGAUUUGAUCACGUCUUCCAGUUGCGUGCCUUAGUCUGUGAUAGCAAACCCGCACGGACCCAAGAUCAACUUCGCUCUGGGCUGUGGCCAAACCGGCACGGAUUUAUUUUGGACUCCUCCCAAUAGUUCUCAUACUACGGAGUUCUUUGGCCGCUUAUAUUUUAGAUAAUUAAAUCUUAUUUAUCAUUCCGAUUCGAGACUUGAGUUGGGAAGCACGAAUUAGGGGGCCUCAAGAUAUAUCAAUUACUAUCAAACAUCAAAUUUUGGUGGACGCUGGUAUGUAGUUAGCGGCUUAAAAUAAAUCAUGCAGAGAUCCGUUCACACUCCACAGUCACUUGUGAUGAACCAUAAAUGUGCCAACCAUAGUGUAAACAUAAAUAUUAUUCCAUUUAAUCUUGCAAUCAAUGAACAAUUAUCUACAGACACAGUUUUAAUUCUAGACCAAGUUUGUGACGGAGAAAGCAGAAGACGGAAUAACGACAGUUUUGGACUACUGGAAAGUGGAAAGUAAUGGAAGUGAUCUUUUUAAACUCAUUUACCCACCCUUUGAGGGGAGGUGAUGAGCUGAGGGCUUAAAAUGCCUAUUUGAGUAAUUUUGGCUUAUUAAUAACUUAUUAAUUAUUAAAAAUAUAAUAAUAAAAAUAAAAAUUAUGAGUAAUGAUUUAGGAGUAAUUUUUAUAAAAGAAAAUUCAAAAAAUUUAAUCACUAAAAAAAGUAUUUCAAACUAACUUUAGUUUUAAGUUGAGUUCUGUCUUAAUUCUUUUAAACUGACAUCUAACUUAUUAUACAAACAAACAUUUUUUAACUUAAAGUUCAUCAGAGAUAACCUAAAAUCCAGAAUUUUUCGUAAAAAAAAUAAUCUAGAUUUUAAUCCCAGAUAAACACGCUCCAGAUCCCUUUUUGAGUGGAGUAGAAUUAGACGAGGAUCGAUAAAAGGAUUAGUGUGAUAAAAAUGGGAUGGCCAAACCCCGUCAAAAAGGAAAAAACCCAUUUGUUUAAUUCUUUUUAUAUGAAAUAUGGUUGCAUAAUUUGUUUUUAAAUCUUUUUAUAUUAAAGUUUAUGAAUAAAAUUUUUAUUCAAAAAAAUGUUUAAAAACUAUAUUUUAUAAAAUGCGUGUCAAAUACUUUGUCCUAACAUAAACAAUAUUUGGAUUGUUUUCGUGACGAACUUAUAAGUCAAUUUCCCACUGAUAAGUCAGAAUGUGAACGGUUGAAAAUUCUAAUUUUUUUAGUGAUUUAUUUUUAUUUUUAAAACUUGGUUUUACAAAUAUGUAGAGGAUCAUCUUAAAAGAUUAUUUAUAAUAAUUUAUUAUUAUAUUAAUAAUUUUUAUAUUCAAUAAAUUGUAAAUAUCAAAAAAAAUUAUUCAAAUAAACAAAAUAGACAUGAUUUUUUACGUAUAAGCCCAGUGAUGGGUUUAUCCUCUGUUGACCCGGGGCACCCGGGUUCGACUCUGGCUCACCCCGAGAAUUAUUAGAACAGAUACUAAGUUGUAAGGCAUAUAAGCCUGCAUUGUCAACAAAAAAAAAAAAAAAAAUUCUCAUUCAUAAAUAAUAAUUAAAUAUUUUUUUAAUUAUGCCAAACAAUCCUUCUCGUGAAUGCAAAUCAGAUUAUGGCUUGCUUGUUCUUUUUCCCGAGGGCUUGCACGUGUUACUCAACAUUAACAUGUUUUAUUUGAAAGGAUAGUCUAUAAUUCCUUCCGGGACUAAUCGAACCGAGUCGAACACUGUCAGGCUUGGUUCGAACUCGACUGAAAAAUUUAGGACUUAGAAUUCGAGUUGGAGUUCGACCGAAUUUUUAAUUUUAAGUUUGAAACUCGGGUCAUACACAGUUUGAUAGGCUCGAGUUCGACUCGAAAGCUCGAAUUGAGCCACAAAAUAUUGACAAAAACUUGAAAUAUGAUUGGUUUGACUCGAGUUCGAUUCGAUUAAUUAAAUGAAUUAUAAAUGAAAAAUUAAAUAUAUUUGUAAAAAUAUAUUUAUAAUAAAAAAAUUAAUAAAUAAGAGAGGCUUGAUAACUCGUGAACCUUACGAGUCCAGUAAAUUGAAGCUCGAACUCGGCUCGGUAAAACAUCCAAAUAGCUCGAGCUAGAUUAUUACCGAAUCAAAUUCAAAUUAUUUUACCAGCCGCGCAAGCACGAGUAGCUCACGAACAGUUUGGUUUAUUCACACCCUACUUCCAAUCAUUUUAGCGGCGAAAAAGGAUGUUAACUAUGAAAGACAAAUCAUAUGACUGAGAAUUCUGCUACAAACAAUACAACAUUAAAAAAACACUACACCAUAUUUGGUCUAUCCUAACAUUACAAACUGAUGUUGCCACCUAAAAUGUUGCCUUAGAUGCUUAAAAUUUGAUUGAAGCAGGUGUAUGCCACCAUCGCAUUUUCGGUGUUGCCAUUAAUAAGAUAAAUGUUGUCAUAACUAAAACAAACCCUCAAUGCCAACAUUUUGUGCGAUGUUACCUUAAAGAUGUGUUAAAAUUAAUAGGAGGGAAACAACCCGCCUUUUCAACUCUGAAUUUUUUAAAAAUAAAUUAAGCAACCGCCCAUCCCAUCACUCACACAGAUAAAACAUAACAAUAAAAUUAAAACUAAAACCAAUUCUUUCUCUCGGCUCACUCUCGCUCUCUCUCGCAUCUCGUGGGUUUAUCCUCUGUUGACCCGGGGCACCCGGGUUCGACUCUGGCUCACCCCGAGAAUUAUUAGAACAGAUACUAAGUUGUAAGGCAUAUAAGCCUGCAUUGUCAACAUAUUAGAACAGAUACUAAGUUGUAAGGCAUAUAAGCCUGCAUUGUCAACAAAAAAAAAAAAAAAAAUUCUCAUUCAUAAAUAAUAAUUAAAUAUUUUUUUAAUUAUGCCAAACAAUCCUUCUCGUGAAUGCAAAUCAGAUUAUGGCUUGCUUGUUCUUUUUCCCGAGGGCUUGCACGUGUUACUCAACAUUAACAUGUUUUAUUUGAAAGGAUAGUCUAUAAUUCCUUCCGGGACUAAUCGAACCGAGUCGAACACUGUCAGGCUUGGUUCGAACUCGACUGAAAAAUUUAGGACUUAGAAUUCGAGUUGGAGUUCGACCGAAUUUUUAAUUUUAAGUUUGAAACUCGGGUCAUACACAGUUUGAUAGGCUCGAGUUCGACUCGAAAGCUCGAAUUGAGCCACAAAAUAUUGACAAAAACUUGAAAUAUGAUUGGUUUGACUCGAGUUCGAUUCGAUUAAUUAAAUGAAUUAUAAAUGAAAAAUUAAAUAUAUUUGUAAAAAUAUAUUUAUAAUAAAAAAAUUAAUAAAUAAGAGAGGCUUGAUAACUCGUGAACCUUACGAGUCCAGUAAAUUGAAGCUCGAACUCGGCUCGGUAAAACNNNNNNNNNNNNNNNNNNNNNNNNNNNNNNNNNNNNNNNNNNNNNNNNNNNNNNNNNNNNNNNNNNNNNNNNNNNNNNNNNNNNNNNNNNNNNNNNNNNNNNNNNNNNNNNNNNNNNNNNNNNNNNNNNNNNNNNNNNNNNNNNNNNNNNNNNNNNNNNNNNNNNNNNNNNNNNNNNNNNNNNNNNNNNNNNNNNNNNNNNNNNNNNNNNNNNNNNNNNNNNNNNNNNNNNNNNNNNNNNNNNNNNNNNNNNNNNNNNNNNNNNNNNNNNNNNNNNNNNNNNNNNNNNNNNNNNNNNNNNNNNNNNNNNNNNNNNNNNNNNNNNNNNNNNNNNNNNNNNNNNNNNNNNNNNNNNNNNNNNNNNNNNNNNNNNNNNNNNNNNNNNNNNNNNNNNNNNNNNNNNNNNNNNNNNNNNNNNNNNNNNNNNNNNNNNNNNNNNNNNNNNNNNNNNNNNNNNNNNNNNNNNNNNNNNNNNNNNNNNNNNNNNNNNNNNNNNNNNNNNNNNNNNNNNNNNNNNNNNNNNNNNNNNNNNNNNNNNNNNNNNNNNNNNNNNNNNNNNNNNNNNNNNNNNNNNNNNNNNNNNNNNNNNAGGGAUAUACAAGAGACUUAUCUUCUCUUGAUCAUGAAGGAAGAAGACAUACUAAAGGUUCUUCGAUUGUUUGAAGGAGACACUGAAAGAAAAAAUAUUAGUGAAGUAUAUAUCUUUAAGGAAGUGGAUGGUAAUAUAAUGAUUUAUUCUUGCUCUGUUUCACAUUUUCAGAUUUAAAUAUAUUUGUAAAAAUAUAUUUAUAAUAAAAAAAUUAAUAAAUAAGAGAGGCUUGAUAACUCGUGAACCUUACGAGUCCAGUAAAUUGAAGCUCGAACUCGGCUCGGUAAAACAUCCAAAUAGCUCGAGCUAGAUUAUUACCGAAUCAAAUUCAAAUUAUUUUACCAGCCGCGCAAGCACGAGUAGCUCACGAACAGUUUGGUUUAUUCACACCCUACUUCCAAUCAUUUUAGCGGCGAAAAAGGAUGUUAACUAUGAAAGACAAAUCAUAUGACUGAGAAUUCUGCUACAAACAAUACAACAUUAAAAAAACACUACACCAUAUUUGGUCUAUCCUAACAUUACAAACUGAUGUUGCCACCUAAAAUGUUGCCUUAGAUGCUUAAAAUUUGAUUGAAGCAGGUGUAUGCCACCAUCGCAUUUUCGGUGUUGCCAUUAAUAAGAUAAAUGUUGUCAUAACUAAAACAAACCCUCAAUGCCAACAUUUUGUGCGAUGUUACCUUAAAGAUGUGUUAAAAUUAAUAGGAGGGAAACAACCCGCCUUUUCAACUCUGAAUUUUUUAAAAAUAAAUUAAGUAACCGCCCAUCCCAUCACUCACACAGAUAAAACAUAACAAUAAAAUUAAAACUAAAACCAAUUCUUUCUCUCGGCUCACUCUCGCUCUCUCUCGCAUCUCUCACUAUCUAUCUCGCAUCUCUCGCAUUUCACAUCUCUCAUUCAUCUCUCCCAUCUCAUUCUUUCAUUCCUUUCAUCUCUCUCAUCUCACUCUUUCAUCUCUCGAAGCUUGUCUCGGAGCUUAUCUCGCUGCUUAUACAAGGAAAGGGUCCGACGAUUAUAUACAGGAAGCUUAUCUCGGUGUUUUAGUUCUUGUCUCGGAGCUCAGUAACUUUCUUCUCGUAGCUUGAAUUUGGUCCGACUAUAACAUUAUAAGGUAUUUCUCUAAAUUAAUUUUGUUAAUUUGGGGGUUUUAAAACCCUAACUGUAAAUUCGUAAUUUGGAGGUUCUAAUAUAAAUAAUGUUAGAUCAUUCGAUGUUCAUGGUACCACUUAUACGUGUUUGCACACCAUCUGUUUGAUUAAGUGCCCGUGAGUAGGUUUUAUUCAAGAUUUUCGGUACAAAUGAAUCAUGUGUUCGUGUGUUGCUAAUGGUGCUGUUAAUUCAAACAGUGAGUAACUUUUCUCGAUGUAUAUAUUUGCGGGAAGUUAAAUGUUAGAUUAUAUGCUAGAAACCGAUGAAGAAGGGCUAGGGUUGCUAACUAAUUAACUCAUCUUAUGAUUAUUUAGAACUGCGUUAUGCUAAAAAAGAUAUCAUGCUCUAAUGCUCCCCCCUAUCAUCAUGUACGUAUAAAACUGUACUCUGAGAGUAUAUUUGCUGAUAUGUUUCUUUUCAGCACAAGGUUACACACCAUUUCUAGUGCACUUGACAAUGGUAAUUUUGACGAUAAGCAACAGACUAAAUAUCUUAUUUUUAAGGUCUACAAGAAUUUAAUGAACAAAGAGCUUAGGUAAUUACUAAUAUCUUCAUUUUCACACAAGCAAACCUUUCUCUGUUUUUUUCUAAUAAUUAACUUGAAAUUUUACUUAAUUUAUUGUUAAAUAGGGAUAUACAAGAGACUUAUCUUCUCUUGAUCAUGAAGGAAGAAGACAUACUAAAGGUUCUUCGAUUGUUUGAAGGAGCCACAGAAAGAAAAAAUAUUAGUGAAGUAUAUAUCUUUAAGGAAAUGGAUGGUAAUAUAAUGAUUUAUUCUUAAUCUGUUUCAUAUUUUCAGAUUGAUAUGUAUCGCCCAUGUAUCAAUACCAGUAUCCUCGCCAUAUCCAUGAAUUGCACGCUAUACACAAAGUGGAAUUUGAUUAGAGUUUUUAAUCUUAAGAGCAUAAUAUGCCUGUUUUACAGGUAGCGAAAACUCAUGGUUUUUCUCUUAAAUAAUAUUAGCAUGUCAUACAUCAUUUGAAGAAAAUUAUCUUGGUGAACCUAUCCUUCCUGGUUGCUCUUGCCUGGUGCCUUUUGAUGGGCAACAGAACAUCCAAUAUUUAAGGUACAAUUCGUCGUCUCAUCUAUUAGUACUAGCAUAUAUGUCUGACGAUUAUCGGAAUAUCAUUUGUGAAGGAAUCAUGCAAGCUAUUGUGAUGCACCCGUUUGACAUAGGCGACCACUACAUCAUUAAUAACGACCAGGUGAAUCAAUAUCUCUUCAAUUUCAGAUUAGAGUUUCUAUAAGAUAUACCUUUUAAUUUUUCCUAAUGUAUAAAAUACUUCACAGUUGGUCGUUGAAGAAAUGGGGCUAACAUAUAUAUUUUUCUUGAAGGAAAAAUAAUGAGAAGAUAAAUUAUCCGAAUUUCGUGUUACUUUCGAAAUGGUGACUAUUUUGAUNUGUUAAUUUGGGGGUUUUAAAACCCUAACUGUAAAUUCGUAAUUUGGAGGUUCUAAUAUAAAUAAUGUUAGAUCAUUCGAUGUUCAUGGUACCACUUAUNAAAUUCCAGAAUUGAAGCUCGAUAUUGUAGAGCUAACUGCUGCAGUGCCGAAUGCUUCAGCCGUAGGUGAUCACCAUGACGACAUUACUUCAUAAAAUUUGGUCUGUGGAAUUUUAGUAUUGUGAUAAUAUUUUAGUAUCGAUAGAAUUUUAGUAUUUGCAGAAUUUUAGUAAGUUGUAGUAAAAUUAUGUGGAAUUUGUAUUGUGGAGUUUGGAUUUAACUAUGUUAUGGCUUGUUGGUUUAGUCAAUAUUAUUUAACGUUUGCAAUUAGGUUUCGGAAUGGAUGAUUGGUUUUGAUUAUUAUAUAUACAAACAAAAUCUUUCAAAUAAUAAAUAUAUUGCCAUGGACAGAUUAAAUGUUGGCAAAAACAUAAAAUGUUACUUGAAAUGUUGUUGCAGUAUUGUAAAAAACGAUGUUGCCAUAUAUUAUAUGGCAACACAGAGAAGGUGUUGCCAUUAUAAACAGAUGUUGUCAUACGAUUUAGAGCAACACACACCAACCAUGUUGCUAAUGACAAAAUAAUGUUGGCAUAAGGUUUACGGCAACAUAAAAAAUCGUGUUGUCAUAAACUGGAAAAAGUGUUGGCAUAACCUCUAUGCCCACAUCGAUUUUCCUAACACCUUCAAAUUUGAACAAAAUGUUGUCAAAAACACAAUGGCAACAUAAAUUGCAGUUUUAGCAACUAAUUUUGGGUGUUAGGAUAGACCAUAUGUGGUGUAGUGAAAUAAAAUAAAUGCACAACCGUUGUUCUUUACUUUUUAAAAACUAUUUUCAUUACUCUCGCAAUCAAACUGUUCUCACUGAAUCACUACCUAUAUCAAUAUCUGUAUUACACCGGUUUAUAUCAAACUUAUAUAUAAUUAUUUUAAUAAUCUACAUCUAUAUGUUUCAUUAUUAUUUUGCUAAUCCAUCAUUAUAGAAAAAUAAUUAGGUAUCAAAGUCAAAAGCAACAAUUAAAAAUAUCACCUUGAACCGUUAUUAAAAAAAUAUAAAUAUAUAAAAAAUAAUAUAAACAGUAAAUCAAAAUAUAAAUGAUAUAAUAAUAAAUAUUGAUAUAACCUUGCAUUAAACUAAUAUAAUGAAUAAUUAAACAUAAAAAAAUUAUAAAAAAAAUAGCCAUACUUGUCACCAUCUUAUCUAGAAGGCAGAUAAAUUUAAAACGGCUAAAUUCAAAGAAAUUUUGUUUUGAUUCAAUCACAAUAGAGUGUUUUACUUUGGGGCAGAACAUUGCGUGCCUGCGAGGCACUCUGUGUGAUUUGCAUCCAUUCAUUUUAAAAAUAUCAAGAACCGUACAACAAAAAUUUAACAUCUUUAAUGUUCUAUAUAUAUAGAACUCAUGCUAAAGUUACAAUUAUAUACUGAAGAAAAAACUGAAAAGGAUUAGAAAUGGAAAGCACCAGUUCUUUUAGCUGGCUGACCGCUUCUCUUUUAGCUGUAAUUGUUACUGUUAUGCUGAAAUGGAUGCAUGCAAGCUAUUUUUCAGCUAAACAGAAACCACCAGGCCCGUUGGCAUGGCCCCUGAUCGGAAAUAUUUUCGAUCUCGGAAGCAUGCCACACCAGAGCCUAUACAAACUUCGGCCGAGAUACGGACCUGUACUUUGGUUGAAGCUCGGUUUAGUCGAUACUAUGGUCAUACAAUCAGCCAAAGCUGCAGCCGAUAUGUUCAAGAACCAUGACGCCGUCUUCUCUGAUCGUAAGGUUCCNUUGCCAUAUAUUAUAUGGCAACACAGAGAAGGUGUUGCCAUUAUAAACAGAUGUUGUCAUACGAUUUAGAGCAACACACACCAACCAUGUUGCUAAUGACAAAAUAAUGUUGGCAUAAGGUUUACGGCAACAUAAAAAAUCGUGUUGUCAUAAACUGGAAAAAGUGUUGGCAUAACCUCUAUGCCCACAUCGAUUUUCCUAACACCUUCAAAUUUGAACAAAAUGUUGUCAAAAACACAAUGGCAACAUAAAUUGCAGUUUUAGCAACUAAUUUUGGGUGUUAGGAUAGACCAUAUGUGGUGUAGUGAAAUAAAAUAAAUGCACAACCGUUGUUCUUUACUUUUUAAAAACUAUUUUCAUUACUCUCGCAAUCAAACUGUUCUCACUGAAUCACUACCUAUAUCAAUAUCUGUAUUACACCGGUUUAUAUCAAACUUAUAUAUAAUUAUUUUAAUAAUCUACAUCUAUAUGUUUCAUUAUUAUUUUGCUAAUCCAUCAUUAUAGAAAAAUAAUUAGGUAUCAAAGUCAAAAGCAACAAUUAAAAAUAUCACCUUGAACCGUUAUUAAAAAAAUAUAAAUAUAUAAAAAAUAAUAUAAACAGUAAAUCAAAAUAUAAAUGAUAUAAUAAUAAAUAUUGAUAUAACCUUGCAUUAAACUAAUAUAAUGAAUAAUUAAACAUAAAAAAAUUAUAAAAAAAAUAGCCAUACUUGUCACCAUCUUAUCUAGAAGGCAGAUAAAUUUAAAACGGCUAAAUUCAAAGAAAUUUUGUUUUGAUUCAAUCACAAUAGAGUGUUUUACUUUGGGGCAGAACAUUGCGUGCCUGCGAGGCACUCUGUGUGAUUUGCAUCCAUUCAUUUUAAAAAUAUCAAGAACCGUACAACAAAAAUUUAACAUCUUUAAUGUUCUAUAUAUAUAGAACUCAUGCUAAAGUUACAAUUAUAUACUGAAGAAAAAACUGAAAAGGAUUAGAAAUGGAAAGCACCAGUUCUUUUAGCUGGCUGACCGCUUCUCUUUUAGCUGUAAUUGUUACUGUUAUGCUGAAAUGGAUGCAUGCAAGCUAUUUUUCAGCUAAACAGAAACCACCAGGCCCGUUGGCAUGGCCCCUGAUCGGAAAUAUUUUCGAUCUCGGAAGCAUGCCACACCAGAGCCUAUACAAACUUCGGCCGAGAUACGGACCUGUACUUUGGUUGAAGCUCGGUUUAGUCGAUACUAUGGUCAUACAAUCAGCCAAAGCUGCAGCCGAUAUGUUCAAGAACCAUGACGCCGUCUUCUCUGAUCGUAAGGUUCCUGAUGCACUAACAGCCUGGAACUACAACCAAGGGUCAUUAGCCAUGGGCAAUUACGGUCCAUAUUGGCGCACACUACGAAAGCUCUGCUCCAUGGAGCUCCUAGUCACUAAACGAGUCAAUGAUUCAACUGUGAUCCGGGAGAAGUGUGUGGAAAAGCUGGUUUGCUGGAUAGAACAGAUCAUUGCAUCCUCGCAAGUUGAGGGAAGAUCAGGCGAGGUGGAACUGUCCGAACUCUUAUUUCUCAUGACGUUUAAUGUGGUGGGAAACCUCAUGCUUUCGAAGGAUCUUCUGGAUUUAUCUUCCACUCAAGGACGAGAAUUCUUUGAAGCAAUGAACGAAGUCAUGAAAUGGGCGGGGACACCUAACCUGGCAGACUUCCUGCCAUUCUUGAAGCCGUUUGAUCCAUUCAAAAUUAGAAAAAAUAUGGCUAAAGGCAUGGGCGUAGCCAUAAAUAUCGUAAGCAGCUUUUUGAAAGACAGGGGUCAUGAAACUAUGUCCACGGAGAAGGUGAAGAAGGACUUCUUGGAUGUCCUCUUGGAGUAUCAAGGUGACCGAAAAGAAGGACCUGACAAAAUGUCUGAAAAGCAUAUAAUUAUCAUCAUACUGGUAGUGAUCAAAAUCCUUUCAAUUAAACUUUCUUCUUUUCAAUUGAAUUCCUAGCUCUCUACAUAAAACAAGUUUCGAUAGCAAUUAAUGGACUUUUUUGCACAUACAAUGAAGUCUAAAAUAGUAAAAUGCCAUCAUUUGAUUUUGAACUAUAAACACUACGGGUUCACCUUAGUUAGGCUGCCUUAAUUUGUUGCUUGUUGCAUCAGACAUCAGUUAUUAAGAGCCGGGAAUUAUGCAGGAAAUGUUUUUCGCUGGGUCAGAAACAACAAGCAGUAGCAUAGAAUGGGCCAUGGCAGAGCUAUUACGCAACCCUGAAUCGAUGAGGAAGGUCAAAGAAGAACUUGACAGUGUUAUCAUGCCUAACAAAAGGGUCAUGGAGAGUGACAUCGAUAAGCUACCAUAUCUGCAAGCAGUGGUAAAGGAAAGCCUGAGACUCCAUCCGGCUAUUCCUCUACUGCUUCCACGAAACUCAAUGGAAGACACCAAUUUCAUGGGGUAUGACAUACCCAAAAGUACCCAAGUUUUUGUAAAUGUGUGGGCAAUCGGAAGGGACCCUGAUGUAUGGGAAGACCCCUUGUCUUUCAAGCCCGAAAGGUUCAUAGGCUCGAAUAUCCAUUACAAAGGGCAGCACUAUGAGUUGCUUCCGUUUGGGUCCGGGAGACGGAUUUGUGUUGGAAUGGCGCUGGCUUACCGAGUUCUUCACCUCAGUUUGGCCACCUUGCUUUGGACUUUCGACUGGGAGCUUGGCAACUCCCUUACUCCACAGACUAUCAACAUGGCCGAGAGGACUGGUAUAACACUCAGAAUGUCGGAACCUCUUAAAGCAAUUCCCAGAAAAAUCAAUCGAACGUGAUGGCCAUUACGUGUUCAGAGAGACAAUGAAGGUGAUACGGACAUUUGCACAUUACAAGGCUGCUAUGUUGUCAAAUAUAAUUUCAAUUCCUAGAAAAAAUGUCUACGUACUUGAUAAAGUUUCUUCUUCUAUAUUAUCGCAAAUAGAUGUGUGUCUAAUUAUAGGAAAGAAAGUCUUCUUUGUUAUGUGUAAUGCAGAUUAGCCAUCAACAAAUAAGUGCACUGCAAGAUUGUUGUGUAAUGCGGCUGUGAUUCAUUUAGUAUUAUAAUAUUAAGAUACAUAUUAUUUGUGAAAUUUUUUGACUUUGUUAUAUUUAUCUUUUAAGUUAAUAUCUCACAUUUUCUAUUUUAUUCUGUCUUAUGUUUUUUAAUUUGGAAAUCAUCCAAAAAUAAAUAUCCAACUUUGAAUUACACAUAUUAUCAUAUAAUUUGAAUUAGAAAGAGUAACUUUUUGAAAAUAAUUUAACAUAAAGUUGUGCCCAUACACACUAAUUUUGGGUUUGGGACCUUGUGAUGGUACUAAAAGAAAUUAAUGUAAAUGAGCUUUUAUUAUGACCGAGCUGUUUAUCUACUUACGAUAUAUGAGUUACUGACUUACUGCUGGCAGAGUUAAAUAUGUAUUUUAUAAUUGAAAAAAUGAUUCACACUAUUUUUCACAAAAAAAAAAUCAUUUUCUAAAAUAUGUUACGAGUAAUAGUAAAGUGUUAAUAUCAAAAAUUGUUGUUAGGUGCAUAAUAGAAAACUAUAGAAUUGAAUAUAGAAUUUGAAUUAAAUUCUAAUUUAUUAUUAUUAUUGUUAUUAUUAUUAUUUUUGAAGAAAUAAUAAUAAUAAUAAUAAUAAUAAUAAUAAUAAUAAUAAUUAUUAUUAUUAUUAUAAUAUCCGCGGAAUGGCAAACUCCCGAUCCGCGAAAAGAGAAACCCGGUUCUGCGGAUACUUAAAAACAAAAUUAAAUCUUAGCCCUUAAAAUAUAGAUCUAAGAGCUCAGUACUUUGGCCACCUUGCUUUGGACUUUCGACUGGGAGCUUGGCAACUCCCUUACUCCACAGACUAUCAACAUGGCCGAGAGGACUGGUAUAACACUCAGAAUGUCGGAACCUCUUAAAGCAAUUCCCAGAAAAAUCAAUCGAACGUGAUGGCCAUUACGUGUUCAGAGAGACAAUGAAGGUGAUACGGACAUUUGCACAUUACAAGGCUGCUAUGUUGUCAAAUAUAAUUUCAAUUCCUAGAAAAAAUGUCUACGUACUUGAUAAAGUUUCUUCUUCUAUAUUAUCGCAAAUAGAUGUGUGUCUAAUUAUAGGAAAGAAAGUCUUCUUUGUUAUGUGUAAUGCAGAUUAGCCAUCAACAAAUAAGUGCACUGCAAGAUUGUUGUGUAAUGCGGCUGUGAUUCAUUUAGUAUUAUAAUAUUAAGAUACAUAUUAUUUGUGAAAUUUUUUGACUUUGUUAUAUUUAUCUUUUAAGUUAAUAUCUCACAUUUUCUAUUUUAUUCUGUCUUAUGUUUUUUAAUUUGGAAAUCAUCCAAAAAUAAAUAUCCAACUUUGAAUUACACAUAUUAUCAUAUAAUUUGAAUUAGAAAGAGUAACUUUUUGAAAAUAAUUUAACAUAAAGUUGUGCCCAUACACACUAAUUUUGGGUUUGGGACCUUGUGAUGGUACUAAAAGAAAUUAAUGUAAAUGAGCUUUUAUUAUGACCGAGCUGUUUAUCUACUUACGAUAUAUGAGUUACUGACUUACUGCUGGCAGAGUUAAAUAUGUAUUUUAUAAUUGAAAAAAUGAUUCACACUAUUUUUCACAAAAAAAAAAUCAUUUUCUAAAAUAUGUUACGAGUAAUAGUAAAGUGUUAAUAUCAAAAAUUGUUGUUAGGUGCAUAAUAGAAAACUAUAGAAUUGAAUAUAGAAUUUGAAUUAAAUUCUAAUUUAUUAUUAUUAUUGUUAUUAUUAUUAUUUUUGAAGAAAUAAUAAUAAUAAUAAUAAUAAUAAUAAUAAUAAUAAUAAUUAUUAUUAUUAUUAUAAUAUCCGCGGAAUGGCAAACUCCCGAUCCGCGAAAAGAGAAACCCGGUUCUGCGGAUACUUAAAAACAAAAUUAAAUCUUAGCCCUUAAAAUAUAGAUCUAAGAGCUCAGUACACGUGUUACAUAACCCCUCCCCAGCAUACGGUUGUCGGGAACAGGGCCUAUGAGUAAUGGGUAAAUAUUAGUGACAAAAUUACAGUGUUAGGUGCAUGCAUGUAAAUACUUUAGUUUUCUAGAUAAAUCGAAAUGCAAGUCGAUCCAUCUAUACUAUAUUAUAAUAAGUUUUUUUUUUUUUUAACAAAAUGCAAAUUCAUUCCAUUAAAUUAAAACAAGUCUAGUCGGGACAACUCCCCAACUAACAAUGCAAUCAGGUUGAUAAACAAUAAAACGAGCUAAACAAAUAGCCGCAUUGUUUCCAGACUGCUUAACAAACUGAAUCCAAGGAUUCUUGAAAUUGAAAAUGAAUACAAAGGCUUCUCGAGUAAUCCAGCCUACAUCAAUCCCGAAAAUGGUAGCUUCACAAUUGACCUUCACAAUAGUUCCAUGGCUGUUGCGGUGUUCAGACGACUCAGUUGUAAAAACUAAGCAAUGAGGAACAAGGGUCCUCGAAUAAUGAACAACUAUAAUUUGUGAAAGGUGAGCACAUGCGAUCGCCACCGUUCCAAGCAUACCCCAGCUAUCUACAUGCCGGAAGCCAGCUAUAGACAUGCCGAAAGUAUUAAUGAUGCGAUAAGCCAGAUCUCCCAAAACUCCAUCACAAUCAUUCUCAUUGAUAACACAAGACGACAUAUCAACGUAGAAUCACCCAAGAAUGGGGUACUAAAUCAACACACGCCAAAAGGCGAGACGGGAAAACACAAUCGGAUCUUUGAUUUCAAAAUAUCUGAUUUAUUCAGAAAGCAAUCAAGCCCAAACUCAAAUCCGAAACAGAUCCGAGAAUAAAACUCGAUUGGAAUCUUCGAGGUUUAAGCAACACUCGAUUUUAUUGAAAAACAAAAAACUAGUAAAUAGUGGAGAAGAUGGGAGAGCGAAGAUGAUUUGGUGGAUGAAGAGGAUGAAGGUGAAGAAUGGAGAAGUGACGGCUAGUUUUGGGAGUCGACUCUCAAAACCCUAAUUUGAGAGAGAAUAGUGUUACUGCUUCUUUUGAUUUAUUUUCAUGCGGUACCUCUGACUUUCCCUUAAUAUUAAGUUAAUAUGGGUAUAAUUUGUAAUCCAAAAUUUUAGUUAUAUUUUUUGGUUUGGUAUUCACCCUCCAAAAUUACAAGUCUACAAGAUGUGAAGUUCCAUUACUUUUACAUUGUUAAAUAGUUUUAAAUACUAAAAAACACUCAUUAGCAACACAUUAUCAUAUAAUAUUUUAUAAAAAAAUUAUAAUAAUAUUAAAAAUAAAAUUAUAAAUAUCCAAUUUUGAAUAUCUUUUUUAACAAGAACCUUCAUAUAACUCUUUUCAAUUCCAACAUGUUCUAUUUCAAUACAAACACAAACUAUUACGUAACCUUUUCUAACUCUAAUAUGUAUGCAACAAAUAUCCUUUUUCAUACGUAUACAUAUGAGGAUAUAUGAAAUAUGAAAAAUCUGAUUUAAAAAUAAUUGAAUAAUAAAUUAUCACAUAUUAAUAACACAAAAAUAUUGAUAAAUAGAUAAUAAACUGUAAAAGCUAAAUUUUCGUGAGAAAAUAUAAACAAUUGGUUAAUAUAAUAUAAUUAAAAUUCAAUUCAUUAAUACUAAAAUACUAAUGAAAUGAUCUUAAAAUUUAAAUAAUAAAUUACGAAUUAUAUACCUACCCGUGCUUCGCACGGGUUAAAGGCUAAUAUUAUUAAUAUUCACACUAUCUUUUAAAAAUGUUAUUUUCAAUAUUAUAUGUCAUACUGGUAAUGGGUAGAUAUUAGUAAAAAAAUUGCAUUGUUAGGUGCAUGCAUUUAAACUAUAUAUUUCUAGAUCAAUCGAGAUGCAAGUCGAUUCAUAUUACUUAUACAUGUAAAAAAAAAUUAAUACAUACGACAAAAAUAGUUUAUAUUUGAAAUCCGGAACAUAUGAUUUUUAUGUUAUGAAUGUAACUUAAAAUUAUUAUAUGUUAUAAUAUCAAUUUAUUAAAGUAUCUUAAAAUUUUUUAAUUUGUUAUAAAAUUUAAUUGUAAAAACAUAUGCACUUCCUUUUUGAAUCAUCUAUGUUUGUAAUAACAAAUGCAAUACCAAUAUUACUUUUAAUCAUCUGAGUCACUUUGUUCAGUAUGAUUGCAUAAUUAUUUAUGUAAUCAAAACUAAGUGAAUUAAAAAAAAUUGUGAUUAUUUCAGAGCUUGUGAUAGUUUUGAAUAUUAAAAUUUAAGAGAAAAAAUAUAUUACAUAAAUUUAGCGAUGAAUUGAGACGGCAUUCGAUUCACAUUAAGUAAUCAGUGAUAUAAAUAGUUUCAAUACAAUACGGACAAAUAUAUGUAUGUGGCUGAUACUAAAUUUAGUGAUGAAUUUGGACGAAAUUCAGUCCAUAUUAAGUAAUAAGUGAUAUAAAUAGUUCUAUUCCAAUACGUACAAAUAUAAUAUAUUUUAGAUAUAUAUAUAUAUAUAUAUAUAUAUAUAUAUUGAAUGCAAUUUGUUGCGCGUUACAAAUUAAAUCGUAAAAUAUUUGACUGUGUAUUUAUAAUAUUCAACUGUCAACGAUAUCACAUAAUUUCUCAAUCUAUUCUAAAAUUUAUUUCUAAAAAUUUCAUAUUUUAUAAAUAGCUAAAAGAUCUGGAACUCACACUUAAUCUAGUUAAUAAUCUAGUGAAUCAAUUUAAAAUGGAAAAAGUUUGGUAGGAGUUAGUAAGAAGUUUUUAGAUAUCAUUUAAUGUAGGAAUUGAUUCAUUUUACAAAAUCCCCAUGUGAAAAUAAUCACAAACUCCUAUAAAUAUCAUGCAAGGGAAGAACAUAUACUCUCACCCACAAAAUAAAAACACAAACAACAAACACACAAGAAAACCAUUGUUGUAACCUUUGAAGAUGGCGGAGAAAGGGAAAAAUACGCUCGACUCACAUGCUUCUGAUCACAUACCAAUACCGGCCCAACCACAAAAGGUGGUUACCGCCGGUGAUGUUGGAAGUUCAACUAGUUAUUUGACGAAAAAGAGACGAGAGAGACGGAGGAAGAGUGAUGCGCUUGGAAACUCGGUGGUGCCUCCUCUUAUGAUUAGGGCUGGCAAUAUCGGGUUGUGGGUCGGGUUCGUGUCGGGUCAACAUUCUCGGGCAGUAUUUUUUACCCAACCCGAACCCGACCCGAAAAUUUAAUGGGUACAGGUACCCAACCCGAACACGACUCGAAUAGAUUUCGGGUUACCCGACACGACCCGAAAUGACACGAAACAUUCACAAAUUAAAUUCAUCAAAUAUUACAACUUUAAUACAAAUUAGUGGAAAUUCAACUUGAAUGCAUAAGAAAGUGAAAAUCUUCAGUCUUCGAUUUAACUUGAAAGCUGGACUGCAGCUCUUAACCAGUCAUCUCCAUUCACAUAUUAAUUCUCUGCAUUCUGCAAGGACAAUAACACAAUUUUAGAGCAUAUAAAGAAAUCAAGACACUGACUUAUUCUUUUUGUUAAAAAUGGACAUCAACAAAAAUGGACCAAGAAAUUAAACACAUAUAUGAAUAGAUCAGAAGACAAUAAGAUAGUAAAUAGGAUUAGAUAAUCAAAUCCAGUGGAGAGGGCGAGUGAGAGAGUUCGAGUGAAACUUACCAAAUACGAAUUCAGGGGAGAGGGCGAGUUUCGAAAUCAAAUCGGAGAUUAAAAUCGGAGUGAAGGGGGAGUGAGAGGGGAGGAGAUUCGAAAAGAGAGGGAGUGUUCUUGAUUUGGAAGAGAGGGCGAGUGAGAGUAUGAGAGAUUUAGGGAAUUAGGGUUGAGAAGGCGGCCGCAGCUUACUCAGAUCUGGAAAAAGAAAGAAAAUGAAUAAGGAUCUGUAGGGUUGUUACGGUUGUAUAUGUUAAGUAUAAUCUUUAAUAUAUAAUAUUUAAUUUAUAUAAUAUAUAUAUGCGGGUUGAUUUCGGGUUACCCGAACCCGACCCGAAAAUGACCCGAUUUUUUCGGGUCAAUUUUGGGUCAACCCGAAAUCGACCCGAACCCGAAAUACCCUGACCCGAAUUCGUACUUUGCGGGUCGAAUUCGUGUCGGGUUAUCGGGUCGUGUCUGAAAUUGCCAGCCCUACUUAUGAUUGUUGUUGCUUCACUGCCGUGGGUGACUGUUGUUGCUUCGCCUCCGCUGAUUUAUGCACCGCCAGUGUCUCAGGUUGUAUCUCGAACACCUGUUGGAUUCACUUGAUGAUUCUGCUAACAGAACCUUGGGCCGUGGGCCCGUGGCUGUCGGCGCCCUCAGGCUUUUGAAAACUGGCAGGCUAUUGCUUCAAUUGGUUAGUAUUCUUUUCUUUUUUAUAAACUUAUUUAUUAAUUAUUUUUUUAGAGGGUAUUAUUAGAAUUAUUUUUGUUGUCCAGUAUUAUAAAAUAAAUCACAGCUUUUUGCAAAAGAUAUUUUUUUAAUUUGUAUAUAUGUUACUAUAUGUGUAUUCUUUUUAUAUAUGGUAAAGAUAAAAAGGGAACUGAUGGUCAAAUGGUGGCUUGUUUGCAAAUUCCGCUACAGGAGAAUUUCGAGUUCAUUUGCUCGAUGCGUAUCCCGGGGAGGUAGACAUGUGUUUUGAAUUGUUUUGUUAUACAUGUUUUUGUUAAAUAUUAUAUGUGUUUGGCAUAAUUUAUAGAGAGUUUUUUAUAGACACAAACUAUCAACAACUUUUUACUUUUUUACUUAGUUGGAAGAUUUUGAUAUAUAAAUAUUUUUAUGCAUGAUGGGAACUAAUAGAAAUUCUCCACUUAAGCAAAAAGUAGUUCUCAGUAAAAAAAAUAUGAUUUAGAAAUAGCUUAUAAAUUGAAAAAUAUAUGUAUUUCCAGCUUGUAAAUAAUUUACGAAUCCGAUCAAACACACAUUAUCAAUUAUUUCAAGAUUAUAUCCUAUAAUAAAUUGUAUAUGUAUUCUAAUUUUUUUCAGGACAUCAUCGGGAAGAUCAUGUCAUAUAUCCAAGGAGGGAUUAGUGGAGUAUCUGUGCAUUCUGUCAACAACAGGAGUGUUAACAAUGUUGCUCUUCAUCACCCUGGUUGUUUUGGUGGGGUAAUUAAUUACGAGGUUCGACUCUUGUGUUUCUUAUACUAGAAUAUAAGAUAUAUAUCUUUGUUUGAAUCAAGGUGAUCUCUACAGUUCCUGAAUGCCGUUGUUGCAUCUUUAGCUUGUUCCUUGAUCUAUUGUUCAUAGUUUUGUUGCUAAUUUGCACAUGUUUAACGAUCAAAUUAUUAACAAUUCAAUUACAAAAUUGAUCAUUCUUCCAACUUUUUUCUCACUUCUUUUUCAUUUACAUUUUUAUAAUGUUGCAGGGCCGAUUUGAGAUCUUGUCCCUAAAUUUUCAAAUUAAUGGCCAGUUUUGAAUUUUGAGUUUUAAAAUAAUGACGUUUUAUUAUUUUUCAUAAUUUUUUCCAGAAUAAUAUUCAUGUUUUAUUUUCACCUUUUAAAAUAAUGGCUAAUUCUCACGUUCUUAGCCUUUUUUAAAAAACAAAAGUAAAUUCUCGUCAUUAAUUUGUCAUUUUGAAAAUUCGGCCACCUUUUUAAAAUGUAGUGAAAUAUAUGACCAUCAUUCAGUAAUUUAUUCUUAAAAUUAUGACAAACUUAAAGCCCCAUAUAGAAUCCUUUAGAUAUCACAAAGACGUCACAGUAGUUUAUAUCUUCGAUAUCUGGCUGAAACUGUGUUAUACUAAAUUUAGUUGAAUUUGAUUUUCUUCCUUGUGCAUAAGCCCUGAAAUCUUUGAGUACUUAUCACCAUUAAGGAUGCAAUGGAAAUAUUGCCGUCUGACCAUAUGGAUGGUUUUACACAUAUCAUAUAUGUAAGAACAUCCUUGGCCACCGAAAUGCCAUCCAAGUAAGAUCAUACUUCACUGCUAGCAAUUGGUGUAAAAACUUGAAUCCAAGUAGAGCCCUGUAUAGUCUCAGGCCAAACUAAAAGCAACCCGUGUUAGCUUGUACAGUCUGUCUGCUUUGUCAAGCAAACAAGGGCCAGGAGGAUCAAGGUUUCAAUUGGUAAUUCAAGCUGCCGAUUUAAGCAUUCUCCUACAUUUCACUUCCAUCUUAUCAUUUCAACCAGCUCCUAGACCAAAAUUUAUCUUUAGUUCUGACUCGAUUGUUUAUGUAUCAGACUCAAAAUCGGACUAAGCCAAACACGUAAAAGUUCUCUUUUCUUAAUCUAUAUUACUAACAUUAUUGCUAACUAGGAUCAUGUACAACCAUAGAAGCCAGCAUUUGCAAUACUAUCAAUAGUCCAUUCUAAGAUCCUAAUAUCCAACCCCAUGCUCCUACCAACAAACUUUCUAUAAUCAAUGCCUACAUGUUGACAUAGCUUCAUAUUAGUAGCAUACAAAUUGGAAUAGAAUCAGGCUACAAAUGUCAUCUAGACUUCUUUUCUUCCUGACAUGAGCUACAGGCACAUAAACAUAACACCAACAGGCACCUAUGAAUGCACUUUAUCAUCAACAUUUUCAUCUAUGUUUUAAAAGAACCAAAAUUUGAAAGUCAGCACUAGUCUAACAACUAUGUAUAUGACAGAUGGUAGAAAGCAAAGAACAAUCCACAUACAGAACCAGCAUCUGCCUCGGCAGUUUAUACACCCAAUCCUCUUUUAAAUUGAAAGAAAUGAACAAUGAGGAUGUGAUUGUGAGAAUUGGCGCAAUACAUACAUGUCGAAAUCUCUUUUCCCCUAGUUCUGGACGGAGCACAGGCCUUUUAAGUUAAAUAUCUACACAGGUUCUGCCAACAUUGCAAUGCUUGUUGAGUUGGAGCAGUCUCGACCACAAGAGUUCUAGUGAACCUAACACAUAUAGUGUGUCCCGCACAGCCCUCCAAUGAAAUUUUAGACAAGAACUUCAAGAGUCCUGUACCUAGAUCCAACCUGCACAACUAUUGAGUAGCAUCAGAAUUCAGAACAGAAAGCCUGUGUGUUCUCACAUUUCAUAAUAUAAUUAAUAAUAAUGAGACCUAGGUAUCAAUUGACAGAUACAAGCGAAUAUGCCCGCCCACUAUUGGCCUGAUUCUAGAAAAUUACCUAUAUGCAUGCAUGAGUCACCAGAAAAAACAGCAAAUAAACUCUUCUUCCCAAGGGAAUGAGUGCAACCUAUACUAUACAAUAAACAGAAAUGUUCUCACCAGCAUUCGAAGGCUUCAUGCAUAUUACUAACAUGUCCUACUGCCAUGGAGGAUGUUUGUGGUUAAUCCUAUCUCCGUUGAAUCCCCCAUCUGGCUCCUUUCUUUUAACCAUCCCUCCUGCCAUUUGUUGAUACAUCUUCAACUGCUCAUCUGGUAAUGCCUGUGAAGCAGUAAGAGGAAGCUGCCUCAAAGCCGAAGGCAACCUUUCCUCUCUCCUGUCCAGUUCUGUAACUCCAGGCCCUGCAUUUAGAUCUAAACCCUGGUCACCCCAUUUUUUACUUUCCGGGACAUUACUAGUACUUCCAGGAAUGCUCAUCACGAAGGGUCGGGAAUAAUGAGUAGACCCCAUGCCCGUAGGUCUCAUCACCUGUGGGGGGAUAGCAGGUAGGUAAUGUGGGCCACCAGAUGAUGAUUCUGUGAAUGGUGUUGAAACCCCAGAAUACGAAUUGGAUGACAAGGGAAAAUUGGUCUCAAAUGGGAAUAAUCCAGGAUACUGAAAUGGGAUAUUUGGUGUGUAGCCAACUGCAGGAGAUGAUGACAGGACGGGACCCCUAUAAAGUUCAGGAUUGAAUGAAGUGUUUCCAGGUGGAAGCAUAAUUCCCUGUGAAUUUGCUGAAGGGUGAGUGAGAUAGUUUUGAUCACCUCUACCAGGAAGAAUAGGAGGCAUUGCUAAGGGAGAGUAUGAGACUCCAGGAGGAAUCCAGGCAAAAUUUCCAAGUUCCAUGUUAUUCAUUCUGACAGGAGGAACUGAUGAAGCAAAGGGAAUACUGUUUUUAGCAUGCGGUGCAGCUUCAUAACCCCCUUCAUCGGGACCAGGUCCAUUGUUCAAAUCAAAGUCCCUCGAUGUGUUCGACUCAGCACCAUAUAAAGAUGGCCUUAGAGGCCUCUUUGGCAUUUCCGUUCUACAGCUGCUAACUGAGAAGUGACCAAUUUCAGGACUAUCAUCACAUAUGUUCAAAUCAAGAUUAAAACCAGCGCCAAUUUGUUCACUGCGUCUAGUUUCUGAGGAAGUUGCAACAGAUUUUUGAGGAGCCACUUCCUCCAUAGCUCUCUGAUCUGGUAUGUUCAAAUCAAAGUCCAAAAGUGGGCGACUUUGUUUAGUCGCGGAGCUCCCAACUAAAGGAACACUAACUGUACAUGGGGGAUUGUCCAGGUUCUUUCUAGGUUCAGCAGGUCGAAAUGCACUGGUAGCGGCAGAACCCCUCCAACCCAGUUCACCCUUUAACCUCAACGGAUUUUCUGGAGGGACAAAUGGACCUUUAGCAGCAGAAGCAACGGUAACUGAAGGACGACCUUCAGCCAAUGAGAUGGGAACUGGUGAAGUGAAAGGUAAAGGAAUGGAUGAUACAUUUCCAGAAGCCGGCAAUUUAUCAAGAUCCCCAGAAAUUCCAUCGUCAAUGGGAAGACCUUCAUUCAGAUCAAAGUCCACCUUUACAGUCGAUUCUGACACAGAAGCAGUAACAGUAGAAAUAUCAGGAAUGGAAGUAAAUUCUUCUGCUACUUCCGACUUGCUACCACUAGACUUGAUCAGUUCCUUGGAUUCCUGGACAGGUAGUGCAGUAGUCUUAGUAGGAGAUGCACUAGGAUGCAAAUUAUUAAGAUCAUUCUUUUCUGCAAUUCCAUGAGAAUUUUCACUCAUCUGGUGAACAGUUAAUGAGCUUAAACCAGGGGUUUGGUCCUCACUUUGCGUUGUCUGUAAUAGUAAAUUCAUUUCACCAUCCUUUGCAGCUUCUGGCUCCCUGUUUCCCACUGUACUAGGUAAACCUGGCAAUUCAGUAUCUUCCAUUUUUCCACGCAUACCAGACAACUUUACAUUUUUUUUGUCUUGGUCGCACCUAUGGGAAGAUGAGCAAGAUGGUGAUUCUUCAUUAGCUUUGACCUCCAAGUUCUUAAGUGUGGCUGCACUAUCAUGUGGCACAGGUACCCCAUUCACCUCAAUAGUUUCAUUAGAUAUAUCAGUUCCCACUUCAGGUUUCGAGCUCGAGGCAUUAACAUCUCUUGUCCGGGUGUGAGUCGGCUUCCGUGGUUCCUGAAACUGGUCAACUUCAUCAGAAGCUGCAUUAACAUUUUUCUUAACAUUUUCAGAAGACAUGGUUGCAGUGUCUUCCUGGACAGGUUCAUGCGGCCUUUCAUGAGCUGUUGGAACAGGUCCAUUGCAAGCUUUUAAUGCUGCGCCACGAUCCACAUUC
This 63860-nucleotide long non-coding RNA is filed under the name Daucus carota (carrot). RNAcentral describes it as "long non-coding RNA (DCAR_LNC003048)". The record is from RNAcentral. Lineage: Eukaryota; Viridiplantae; Streptophyta; Magnoliopsida; Apiales; Apiaceae.